CAGAGAAGUUGCAAGGCAAGUUGCUAAUAUUGAUCUGCCUAAGAAGGUUGCCAAGGAAUCUGUAAAAGACGGGAAAAUAGUUCAGGGUAUGAACGCAAAGCCGGCUGUGAAGUCGAGAUCAAAUGGCUCGGCUGGCAAUGGAAGGUGGGACCGUUUCAUUCACCUUGAAACAACUACAUCAAGCCAUACAUCGACUCCUCCAUCUGUUUAUCUUUUCAAUUUAGUCGUGGGUCUGUUUCUGUUCUUAAUCAUGCUCAAAGAAGUGCUGAUUGUUCACUGAGAGAAGCUUCUCUUAUAAGGCUAUCGUCAAGAGUUUCCAGUAUAACAAGAACACUUUAUUUUUUGCGAGAAAAGGUCAGCAAGAGGAGGACUUGAAAUCCCUAAAUCUUAAUAAACCCUCAACCAGCUGACAGAAUGGAUUUCUGUUUUUGCUAGCUUGUAUAUAUAUAUUGCCCCCUUCUCAUGGCUGCCGGGGCUAGACUGUAGUUACUGUUUGCUGUAUAAAUUAUAUCAUGUUAUAAUUAUUACAAGAAAACUCGAAAGAGCAUGGGUUUUUCAACGUAGCAAACUGCGGUGUCUAUUGUUUUUUAAUUGGGUCCUCAAUCUUUGUUUCUUUUCAAUUGCUUCCUUCAAUGCCUAAAUUCAUGGCUAAUUUAUCAAAAACAUUUAAGGAGGGACACAAUUAAAACAAAACGGCCAAAAUAUAAACCAAAGAGGAAAUGAGUGGUGGUUUCAAAAAUUGAACAAAAAAUAGUAAAAUGCAUUUCAGCUCUCAACUUUUAAAUAAAUAUUUUUAAUAUUAUAAUUAUUUUUUAAAAAAAUUAUUUAAAUAUAUAAGAAUUUCUAAAUUUAUUAUAAAAAACUUUUUACAACUACCGGUUAUUUUAUCUUAUCAGACAUAGGUACCGGCUACCACCAGUAAGCUGGGCUAUCAGAUUUGGGUUCACAGCAUCAACUCAAGGAAAUAAUGAGACAUGAUGACCAAAGGCCACAACCUUUUGAGCGAUCAAGUUUGUAGCCUCCUAGUUACAUGAUCAUCGCAAGUUGGACAAAUAAGUUCAAAUAUGGCCCUUUUUUUGUAGCAUCUAGGGUGGAGUCUGCUCAAUUUUUUUUUUGAAAAAAAAAUAAAACUACACGUCAUGGUUGAAAAUUUAAGAUUUUAAAUUUUUUUAUUUAAAAAUUUAUUUUUCAAUUCAUUUUGACCUAAAAACCUAAAAAACACUCUAAAUACCGUAAUAAAUCUAUCCAUAGCCUAAAAAAACUCAAAACAAUCAUUCCAAAAACCAAAAUUAAUUCAAAAACAAAAAAUCUUCCCAAGUUUAGAUAUAUUUUUUCAUGAACUUUAAAAAUAAAAAAAACCUAAUAUCUCCCUCGUCAAAUGAAACCAUUUGACAUAAAAUAUUGGCCUUUUAAUCGGUGUUAAAGAUAUUUUUUCUUUCUCCAGCGCAAGAAUCUGGCGACCUCUCUGUCUCAUCUUUCAAACUAGGAACUAAAAAUAACAAAAAUAAAUUUUUGUACCAAAAUUAAAUUGAGAAAAUAUUAAGGUACAAAAUAUGUAUAGUUUUGAAAGUAUAAGGGUUAAAUUAAACAUUUUGUGUGAAUUUUAAAACUAUCACCUAUAUGUGGUGCUUUUUCUACUUUGGUGCCAUGUCUUUUAAUUUUAUUUUUAGUCAAUAAAUUUGAUUUAAUUACCCUUGAAUUUAGCCUAAAAGGUUGCAAUUGCAUAAAAAAAAAAUUAAGGAUCAAAUUAAAAAAAAUUAUAAAUAGUAGGUUGAGAGGGUGCACAAUGUCAUCUCAAUAGUACUCAUUUCACAUGUUUUAGUAUUUUACUUAUAAUAAUUUCAUUUAAGAAAAAUCAUUAAAAUGACUUUAUUUUGAAAUUUACCAGUAUGAGACUUUAACAUGUAAAAUCCCAAACAGGUACAAUCACUAUAAUUCUACGGGGUUGUUUGAUAUUGUGUUCAAAAUGAUAUUCUCUAAAUUUUGAAAUUUGUUUUGUUUAAAAUUAUUUUUUUAUAUAUUUUUUAAAAUUAUUUUGAUGUGUUUAUAUCAACAAUGAUUUUUUAAAAAUAAAAAAAAUAUUAUUUUAAUACAUUUUUGAACAAAAAAUACAUUGAAAAAUAACCAUAACCACACUCUCAAACACCUUCUAAGUGUCCAUUUGGUAUUGAAGUUGAAUAAGCUUUUCGUCAAUUUUUUUUUUUUGCUUUAAUUUUUUUUAAAAUAUUUUUUGAUCGUUUUGAUGUGCUGAUAUUAUAAAUAAAUUUUAAAUAAUAAUAAUAAAAAUAUUAUUUAAAUAUAUUUUCAAAUAAAAAAUACUUUAAAAAAUAAUUUUUAUUACACUUCCAAACACCCUAUAAAACAACAAAAAAACAUGAAGGUAAGGGAAUGAGAUUAAGUGACCAAUGAAAAUUCAAUUUUUUUUAGCUUAAAUUUAAAUUUUUUUAUGUUUUUAUAUCAUUUUAAUAGGUUGAUUUUAAAAAUAUUUUUUUUUUUAAAAAAAAAUUAUUUUAAUAUAUUGAUAAAUAAAAAAUACUUUAAAAAAUAAUUUUAAAUUUUUUACAGAGUAAUUAUAAAUUAGUACUUUUUGCUCACAUAGACAAUUUUUAAGUUAUGGUAAUUUCAAAUUUUCAAAUGAAAAACCUUCUGUACUAAAUAAUUGAACAUGGUUUUUUUUUUUUCUUGUCAAUUCAGCACUUUUUUUCCAUUUUUUUUCUUGUGUAAUCUAAUUAAGAAAAUUAAAUAAAUGUGAUCACUCAAAAAAAAAAAACAUAUAAUAGAAGUCCUUGUUUUGCUAGGACACGUCACUGGAGUCUCCAGUUGAUUCAAUUGUAUUUGAAAGUGUGGCUUUCCCAAAUCCGAACCCAAUUUUUGUUAGCCAUCUGACCUAGUCCUUCUCCUAUAGCUUCUCAAGCAAGCUGGGCCCUCUGGGCUCCACUUGGAUUCGGAUUCCACCCAACUGAUGAAGAAAUCAUCAGUUUCUUUCUCAUGAUCUCAUCAAACGCAAGAUGGAUGGUUCUGAUUCUACUGUUGGCAAUGACAUUCCUGAAGCUGAUCUUUGCAAGUUUGAACCUCGGGAAUUACCAAGUAAAGUUUAAAGACCUCCAUCUUUUUUCCCCUUGUUUUGUUUAAGAAUCUUCAACGUUUUGGUUGUUUCUUAAGCUCUUCUAAGUAUUGAAAGAGGUUGAUUUUAUACUAACUCUUACGUAUGAUGGACAAUAUGGACAGGACAGUACUAGAUAUUACUGGAUUGAAUAUAUAAUUAUAUUGUAUUGUGUUUGGUGUGUUUUGGAUUGGAUUGGAUAAUUUGUUUUAUUUUAUGUUUGCUAGAUAUUAGAUGGGACUCGACCAACCCGAGAUCUAGAUUGUUUUGAGUUUAAAAAAGGAUUGAUCUUACUUCAUCUGGUCAAAAACUCGGAUCAACUCAAAAUAAAUACGAGUAAAAAAUCUAUUGACUUUUUUAUAUAUUUCUUUGGUCAAAACGAGGCUGUUAUAUUUGUUUUUGAAUUUGAGUCAAUCCGAUAAGGUUGAUCUCCAAGUCAAGUUUUAAAAUUAUAAUAAUAAUCAUUUUUAUUCUUACGUUACUCUGGGUCAACCCAAGUUGACCAUUCCAACCCAUAACAUAAGCCUUGUCUCAGGUUGACUUUUUAGUUAAGUUUUAAAACUAUGAUGAUAACUAUUUUUAUUCUUACGUUGACUUAGGCUAAUGAUCAACUCGAUCCAUGACCCGAGUCUGGCCCUGGGUUGUGACCCGAGAUUAGCUCUAGAUUGACCUCCGAGUUAGGUUAUAAAAUUAUGAUAACAACUUUAAUUUUUAUGUUGACCCAAAUCAUUGGUGAACGCGACCCGUGACCAGAGGCUGGUCCCAAAUUGAUCCUCAAGUUGGGUUUUAAAAUUAUGAUAAUAACCAUUUUUAUCUCUAUAUUAACCUAGGUUAAUGGUCCUGGUUCGCGACCCGAGCUUUGCCAUAAGUCGACUUUAGAGUUGAGUUUUAAAAAUAUAAUAAUAAUAAUUUUUAUCAUUACAUUGACUUGGGUCAAUAAUCAACACGACAUGUGACCCGAGCUUGGCCCCAGAUCGACCAUCUAGUCGGGUUUUAAACUUUGAUAAUAAUCAUUUUUAUUAUCACGUUGACUUGGGUCAAUGGUUAACUUGACUCGUGACCCGAGCCUAGCCCAGGGUUGACCUUUAAGUCAGGUUUGAAAACUAUGAUAAUAACCACUUUUAUCCUUACGUUGACUUGGAUCAAUGGUCAACCUGACUCGUGACCCGGGCCUGACCUUAAGUCUAACCCCGGUUCAGGUUUUAAAACUAUGAUGAUAAUUAUUUUUAUCCUGAUUUUAACCUGGGUUAAUAGUCCUGACUCGCGACUGGCCUCGAGUUGUCCCUGAGUCAAGUUUUAAAAUUAUAAUAAUAAUUAAUUUUGUUCUUAUAUUCACCCGAAUCAAUGGUCAACUCGACCCAUGAAUCGGGCCUUGUUCCGGUUUAACUCUCAAUCGAGUCAGGUUUUAAAACUAUGACAAUAACCUUUUUUAUCCUUGCGUUGACUCGGGUCAAUGGUCAACUUAACCAGCAUCCUUCGUCUUGCCCGGGUUAGCUUUUAGUCAAAUUUUAAAACUAUAAUAACAAUCAUUUUUAUUAUUACCAUUGAGCUGAAUUAAUUAGAUUGACUCUUGUACAGAAAAUUAGACAAGCUUAUUCUAUCCCUUUUAGGAAGACAAAAACUACUCCAUUAAAAUAGCAAUUUUUGUAAAUUUUAUACUGUAUAAAAGUACCUCAACCAACUCCACAACAAUUAUCAUGUUCAGUUCAUCAAAACAAACACUACCUUAAUAUCCUAAUAGCCGAAGAGUCAACAGAGCAACAAAAGCUGGAUACUGGAGAUCAACUGGAAGGGAUCGUAAAAUAAAGACUAGGCGAACCAAGGAAGAGAUUGGAACAAAAAAGACUCUGGUUUUUCAUGAAGGUCGCGUCCCUGACGGUAUUAAGAGUCUUCAUGGAAUGAGGUUUUUGGUUGUAUAUUUUUACUGUGGGGGUUCAGGAAUCUCUCCUGUGACAUUUUGUGAUUAUAUAAUUUUUUAUUUAUUUGAAUGUUAAUGCUAUGAAAUUGGUAGUCUCAAAAGUCAAAUGGUUUGAGUUUUCUGCUUGAUUUUCAAUAUUUGGUCCGUGUUCAGAAGCUUUAACUUUGUGCAGAAUGUUCCGAGCACCUCUGUCAUAAGAACCCAGUUCAUCAGAGAUUGCAAGCUUAAUUACUUGUUAAAGAAACAAAAGGGACCAAUUGAAUUUUCUACUUGUGUAUAGGAAGGUCGUUGAGGUGAUUAAACGAAAUGCAGGUAGUAGGAGUGGUUUCAGUGUAUGAUUUUUGUUUGUUCUGUGCUCUUUUUUUUCCCUUCUCCGGCCAUAGAAAUUUAGUAUUAUGUAUGGGUGGCUCACAUUCAUGCAACUCACUGGCGCAUAAAUUGUUUUGUUCUUGAACUCUUGCAGAGGGCUCUCACUGUCUGUAAAUUGAAGGAAAAGGGGAAUGGGAAUACUGAUAUUCAGGCCUGUGAUGAAGGUGAAACGAGUAGCAUAGGAACUGAAACCAGCUCAAUUGCUUUUUUUUCUUAAAUCUUAAUUUGAAUAGCAAAUUGAAUUCAUUUCAAGGAACCGAAAGAAAGACAUGAAAAACUUACAAAUGAAAUUUCUCCCCAGCUGAAAAAGUAGAGAUAGAACAGGCAACUAGAAUGAGAGGUCAUAUUGCUACCGAUCUUGCAGUAGAGCGGUAAGAUUAACUUUCAUGGGAAGGGGUGCACGGAGCAAGCAUAUAUAGUGGCUUGCAAUUUAAACCAUUCAGCUCUUUAACAAAAUUGACUCCCUUGAAUCACUUGCAUUGAUGUGGCUGCUAUUUCACUGCAAUGCUCUUAAUCAUUAAACGUUCACUGCUUUCUCCCAGGACACUUCGGUGCGUGCAUGCUUUAUCAGCAGAUUCGUCACUCCAACAACUUUGAAGAGCGCCAGCUUUAAAAAGACUCAAGCAGCUUUGAAGGGGCUCCAAGACAAUAACAUUUCCAGAAUGUUGAUUUUUGCAAUUUUGGCUAUCAAAUUUGCACAACUCAUGUUCAGCAGUGAACCAAAAUUGGCAUUUUAACCAAAAUGGCUAGCGUGUCAUGAUGUGCUUGAAUACGAGGAAGAUGAACAAUACUCGAUGAUUUAAAAUCUCAAUGAUCUCUGAGUGGAUAUCUGAGUGACAAGCAACUUAACAGCAUGUGCACAGAAGCAGGCCGCAAUGCAUCUAUUCAUAGCUGACUCACUGAUCACUGCUUCAUAAAAAGAGCAAAAGUGUGUGAAACUAUAAUGCUCAUUUCAACUUGAUCAAUAAUCCACCAAGAAUCUACUAAAAAAAAAGAAAGGAAAAAAGAAAGAAAAGAAAAAUCAACUAGCAAUGUUCUAACAUUUGACAGAACAUAUCCACAUGACAAAUGUACUUCACAAAAGCAGGAAAGCGGGCAAUAUUCAGCGAAAUAUUUGGGAACUUCAGUAUUAAGAACUGAAACAGCAGAAAACUAGAAUGAGUAAUAAAUUUAUGAAAGUACAUUUCUAAAUAUCUUAUAAGUCAAUUGGAAUGUUUGAACUUUCUGCUAAUUGUGCAUACAAAUACCUGCAGACCUGGAUACUCAGCUUUCGGCUAAGGAUAUUUUCAAUAUAACAAGGACAUAAAUAAAUAAAUACUUACAGUUGUUACAGCAACCAUAUGCUAUGUUUGAAGUAUUGACAGUUCACAUUCGGGAUAUAUUGCUACAUAAUUGUCUACAUUUUUUGUUUCAUACUCAAACAUAGGCAACAGAUUCAUGCCAGUCCAUAGAAUGUUUUUCUGUAAUUAGAAAAAUCAGCAUCUACACAAUAGUACAUGCUGAGACUUCUUUGAGCAUCAACACAAGCAUGAUAUAACAAUAACAACUAGUAUGGUGCUACCAUAAAAACUGAUGAAUAAAGGUUAAGCAUACUUGUAGAGGACAAUAAAUGAUUUAUCUAACCUUUUAAUGCCACUGUGUUGGAUGAUAAAACAAAUAAAUCAAUGAUGAAAAUUACAGAAAAUGGAAAUUCCCAAACCUGAAAAAUGAAUAUUCAGAAAAGUUAGAUUAAACCAAACUCAAGCUUAUACAUUAAACAAGAACCAAUGCUUAGAAGAUUACAGAAGCUGAAAGUGAAAAAGUUAUGUUCAAUUUGCUUUUCAUUAAGCCGCAUUAAGAAGCCAUACCAUUGUGGCAAUAAGAAAAAUCUUGAAGUGACUUGAAACUAGGACUGCAAGCAAAAUGUCUCUGCACCUGCCAACAGCAGCAUGAUAAAUCUCAAAGUUGGUAACAAAAACAACUUUUCUCUAUCUUGCCUUAUUUUGGCCAUUUCUCCUCAAUGAUCUUAGACAUCUGUAUCACCCAACUCUCUCAUAAGACUCCCAAACGAAUACCUCUAACUCCUUACAAUAUGAAUACCUCUAACUUCUUGCAAGUGCAAAAUAUUGAAUUUUAUUUUCUGAUCAAUCCAUAUAAAUAAUACUAAGAUUCUAGUUUCAAAUAGAGGAUAGGUGUAUGUAUCGUACGUACAACAAGUAGUGAAUGUUCACACAAACCUAAACCUCUGCAACCAUGUCUUCAUCCAUCCCAGUUAAUUAUUAUUCACACAUGAAACCAGUUUUUUAGAUAAUUAUACUAGUUUAGAAUUAAAGCCUCACCCCCAGGCAAUCUCCAUUAUGAGCUUGAACCAAAACAACAAGGAGCAGCACACAUGGCAAUUGCUAUUAGGGCCUCACACCCGUAAUAAUGCAAGUCCAAGAAGUAUAUUAAAGAAAUAAACAGCUUGAUACUGAAGCAAACGUUUACCUGGAGAUUUCAAUCGAUGUGUUUAGUAACAGCCUCAUUGAAAGAAGAACAACACAGAUAAACAUUAAGUUUCCAACAAAGACAUCCACAAGUAUCUGCAGAAGAAAAUACUUAACCCACUUUUCAAGCAGCACAUAUAAUCCAACUCCAACUUUAAAACUGAAAUUUAUGUUCAAUUCCCACCAUCAUUGCUAACCUCUUGGAAUGUCGAAACAAUUGAAGAAAAGCUCAUGGAAGAACCCCACUCUCCCUCGUUUCUUUUCAAAAGAAGACUUCUAUCUUUGAUCAUUAAGGCAUACAACACCAUUUCGUACCACAAGUUUAAAGGAGUAUUUAAGUAUUCAAAGAAAAUAACCAAGACAAGAAAUGGAUACAAGCAUCCAAAAGAAGAAACACAAAGAUUGACUUCCAUAACAAACCCUGCAAAGCAGCCCUAUGUUAGUGUUAAUAAACCGUAUUGAUCAAAUCAAUGAUUACAAACACUGAAACAGAAAGUACAUAAUCAGUUAUAAGUUUCCCCCCACAAAAAAAAAAAAAAAAUCUGAUUAGAAGCAAUAAUAUCCUUAAAGCAUCCUGGAAAACACUCACUAUAAACUGUAAGAAGUAAACAUAACUAAAGGAAGCAGUUUGUACCUCAAAAUUGACCCUACGCUGAUUGAUUACACUGAAGAGAAGAUGUCUAUACGCUUUUGUCUUGUGCAGAAUCAAAUCAAUCAAAAUAAUCUACACCCAUUAACCCCGCGCCAAAAAAAAAAAAAAAACUCUAAAUCUUCACUAAGGGAACCAAAAAAAGAAAUGAUAAAAAACAAUCAAAGACAAGUCAAGAAUCAAAAGGGUAUAAGAAUUUCACCAUGAAUUCACAUUCGAUGUACUCGUCUGCAACUGCUUCGCAAUUCGCCUGCAACAGGAACAAAUCUUUUCUUUUAAAAAAGAUAAAGUUGGGAAAUUUAAAAUGGAAAUUAAAAUUUUAUAAACGAGAGAGAGAGAAAGAGAGAGAUUUACACAUCUCAGGAGUCGAAUGUUGCCUGGUGAGUAUUGGAGGAAAAGAGUUUCUAUCGGGAAUCCACACUCUACACAUCUAUGCUCCAUCUUUUUUAACUACUCCCUCGUAUGCGUUCUGCAACUUCCCCCCCUCUUUUAUAUAUAUUCCCCCUUGGUUAUAUAUAUAUAUAUAUAUAUUAGUUAAAUAACCUGCACGAUGCUGCGGGUUAAUUUUUUUUUGCAUAAAAAAUAUCUAAAAAGCUAAGAUCUAAAAGCAUUAGGUCUUUUUGUAAAGCUAUACCCAAUAAUCUUGGAUUUUACUACAACGUCUGACCUAAAAGUAAUAUUUAUAAUAUUAAUAAUAAUAUUAAACUUGCAUGAUCAAAAUUUAAGUGAGUUUGACUGCAAUAUUAAACUCAAUAGCCUUGGAUGUGGGUCUAGUUGCAAGGUCGUAUCAUAAAAUUGUGAUAAUUAAAUAGAUUAAGUAAAAAGAAAAAAAACAUAGAAAAAAAAAAACCAACAUGAAGAAAAAGAAAAUAAAUCUGAACUAACUGGGUUAACCCUUCAAACCAAGUUAAUCCGUCAAACAUUGGAUUCGUGUCAUGAAAGUUUGAUAACUAAAUAAUAAUAAUAAAAAAUUGACGGGUUAACCCAGAAUUAACUGGGCUAACAUGUUAAACCCGGGAUCCAUGUCAUAAAAGUUUGAUAACUAAAUCGAAAAAAAUUUAAUAUUAACAAACUAAAAUAAACAAAAACAAUUAAUUAAAAAGAAAAAAAAACAAAAGACAUCGGUUUUCACUAUGGACUAUACUAUGCAAUCCAUAGUCAAUGGCAUAAAAAAGGCAACAAAGCAAAAAAAAAAAAAAAAAAAAAACUAACUGGGUUAAAAGAAAAAAAACCUAUAGAAAGAAAAAAAAACUAAUGAAGAAAAACAAAAAAAAUCUAAAUUAAAUGGGUAACCCGUCAAACCCGAGAUCCGUGUCAUGAAAGUCUGAUAACUAAAUAGAAAGAAUUUUAAUAUCAACAAACUAAAUUAAAAAAAAUUAGUUAGAAAGGGAAAAACAAAGAAGAAAAACCUAUACGGAGAAAAAAAAUAAUUAAAAAAAAUCUGAAUUAACUAGGCUAACCUGUCAAACAUGAGAUCCAUAUCAUGAAAGUCUUAUAAUUAAAUAGAAAAAAAAUUAACAUAAACAAACCAAAUUGUUUUAAAAAAUAAAAAGUGAAAAAAAAAACGUAUCAACCUUUUUAUUGUGGACUGCACUGUGCAGUCCAGAGUCAAAGACAUAAAAACGGCAAAAAAACAAAAAGAAGAAAAAACUAAAGGCACCAAUCGAUAACUAAAUAGAAAAAAAUUUAAUAUUAAUAAACUAAAUUAAACAAAAAAAUAUUAAUUAAAAAGAAAAGAAAAGAAAAAGCUAUUAGAAGAAAAAACUAAUGAAGAAAAAGGAAAAAACAAUCUAAAUUAACCAGUUUAACCCUUCAAACAAGGUUAACUCAUCAAACCUAGGAUUCACGUCAUAAAAGUUUGAUAACUAAAUAGAAAAAAAAAAUUGACGAGUUAACCUAGAAUUAACUCGGUUAACCCGUGAAACCAGGUAACCCGUCAAACUCGGAAUAUGUGUCAUGAAAGUCUGAUAACUAAAUAGAAAGAAAUUUAACAUUAACAAACUAAACUAAACGAAAAAAAUUAAUUAAAAAGAAAAAAAAGCAAAAAAAAAAAAACUUCGAGUUACCUUGUUAAAUCAGGUUAACUCGUUAAACCCGAGAUUUGUGUUAUGAAAGUCUGAUAACUAAAUAAAAUUUUUUUUAGUACUAACAAAAGAAAAAAAAAUAAAAUGGAUGGGUUUACCCAGAAUUAACUGGGUUAACCCGUAAAACCAGGUUAACCAGUAAAACCUGAGAUGUGUGUCAUGAAAGUCUGAUAACUAAAUAGAAAGAAAUUUAAUAUUAACAAACUAAACUAAACACAAAAAAUUAAUUAAAAAGAAAAAAAAGCAAAAAAAAAAACUUCGGGUUAACUCAUCAAACCAAGUUAACCUGUUAAACUCGAGAUCCGUGUCAUGAAAAUCUGAUAACUAAAUAAAAAAAAUUAACAUUAACAAAGGAAAAAAAAAAGGACGGGUUAACCCGUGAAAUCUGAGAUAUGUGUCAUGAGAGUCUGAUAACUAAAUAGAAAGAAAUUUAACAUUAAUAAACUAAAGUAAACGAAAAAAAUUAAUUAAAAAGAAAAAAAGCAAAAAAGUUUUUUUGGUUAACUCGUGACACCAAGUUAACCUGUUAAACCCGGGAUCAGUGUCAUAAAAGUUUAAUAACUAAAUGAAAAAAAUUAACAUUAACAAACUAAAUUAAAAAAAUUACUAAAAGAAAAAAAACUGAAAGGCAUAGAAAAAAAAUAAAAUAAAUAAACGAAAAAAAAAAACAGUUUUUUUUAAGAAAAAGACAGCUCAAAAACAGAAACAAAAACAAAAAAAAUCUGAUAACUAAAUAGAAAGAAAUUUAAUAUUAAUAAACUAAACUAAACAAAAAAAUUAAUUAAAAAGAAAAAAAAGGCAAAAAAAGAAAAACUCCGGGUUAACUCUUCAAACCAAGUUAACCCGUUAAACCCGGGAUUCGUCUCAUGAAAAUCUGAUAACUAAAUAAAAAAUAAAUUUAACAUUAACAAAAAAAAAAACACAAUAAAAAAUGGACGGGUUAACCCGUGAAACCUGAGAUAUGUGUCAUGAGAGUAUGAUAACUAAAUAGAAAGAAAUUUAACAUUUAUAAACUAAAGUAAACGAAAAAAAUUAAUAAAAAAGAAAAAAACAAAAAAAAAUCUUGGUUAACUCGUGAAACCAAGUUAGCAUGUUAAACCGGGAUCACUGUCAUAAAAGUUUGAUAACUAAAUAAAAAAAAUUAACAUUAACAAACUAAAUUAAAAAAAAUUAUUAAAAGAAAAAAAAAUAAAGAAAGAAGAAAAAAAUUUGAAAGGCAUAGAAAACAAAAAAAUAAUAAAAAAAUGAAAAAAACAGUGUAUUUUAAGAAAAAACAGCUAAAAAACAGAAAAAGAAAAAAAAAAUAGCUCAGCUUUUUACUUUGAAUUGUUACAGUAAAAAGCUGAGCAAUUUUAGAAUAUUUCUUAUUUAUGAGUGUUCUCUUCCAACCUUUAUCUAUUUGGGGCGUAAGUCCAAAUAAUAUAGGUCUAAUAUGUACCUUGAGUUUUCUGAAAGCAGCCAUACCAGGAAUAUCUUUCUUAUGGAUGAUUGCAAUUUUUUUUGGUUAAUGACAAAAAAUUAUUUCCAAAAUUUUAACCAUUCAUGAUCGUAAGCAUAUUCCAUUCUAAAUUUAUAAUUAAUUUUUUGAGCUCGAAAGGAGAUACUUAUGCCUUAUUCAAAUUUCUAGAGACUCAGUAGUUGAAAUUUGAUUUUCAAAUUCCUUUGUUAAUAAGUAUAUUUGAAAAUAUUAUUAUGAUUAUUUUUUAAAAUAUUUUUCAUGCUAAAAUACAUUAAAAUAAUAUUUUUUAUUGUUUAAAAAUUAUUUUUAAAAUCAACACAUCAAAACGAUCCAAAAUAAAUAAAAAGACAGUGUGGUAGCGGUUGCUUUUUAAAUAAUUUUUCGUGUCGAAAUAUAUGGUAAUGCUGUUUUUUUAUUUUUUAAAAAUUAUUUUUAACAUCAGCACAUCAAAACGAUCCAAAAAGUACAAACCGAACUCAAUUUUAGCAUUAUUCAAAUUUCUAGAGACUCAGUAGCUGAAAUUUGAUUUUCAAAUUCCCUGGUUAAAAAAAAAGAGAGUUAUAUUCUGUUCGUGUUUUAUUGCUUAAACUAAAAUAAAUGUAUAAAAAUGAUCUCUUUCUCUAUUUUCAUGGAAAAUCAACUUUUUAAUAUCUUUGCAGACUAACAUUUCUAAAAUUAAAACAACAAAAAAUAAAUUAAGGUUGAAAAGGGAAGAAGAUUUUUAUUAUUUGAUUUUUAUAUUAUUAUUCUAACAUUCUCAAUGCAUGUUCUCACCUUACCAUCCUCUUGUAAUCAAGAGUUUGUGCGCACGCGCACCCACACAUACACAAAGAGACAGCCAGGCAGGGAGACGGCCUCCAUCUCCUAACUAGAAGAACCGUACGUUGAUGAGUUGUGUCAAGAAUUUUGUUAGGGUGUUGGGUCAAGGCUAGAACCGAGCCUAAGAUUUUCUCUCAAGACCUUUUUCAAAAGCGUUUCAAAUCGAGAGCAGACUAGUUAAUUUUAUUAAGAAGGCCUAGGAAUUACAGCACUCAUGCAAGCAUAAUUAUACCCUCGAUCGACAUAGCUGAAAAAGGAUUGGAAUUUAGGACAGAUUCUUGGUGCCUCGGAUCACUCUGUGUCUGUUUCGGGCGUUGUCGGAGUCAUUGAUGGCUUCCAAUUCGACCUAUUCUGACCCUGUCGUUUUCUACCUCCAUUCUACCCUGUCGUUUUCUACCUCCUACCACUUUUUUUUUUUUUUUUAAUACCUUCUUGCUAAUACUUUUUAGAGUGGGUUUGACAGUGUGGUAGCGGUUGCUUUUUAAAUAAUUUUUCGUGUCGAAAUACAUGGCAAUGCUGUUUUUUUAUUUUUAAAAAAUCAUUUUUAACAUCAGCACAUCAAAACGAUCCAAAAAGUACAAACCGAACUCACUUUUAGCAAAAAAAAAAAAUUUUUAAAUUUGAUGAAACACCGUUUUGAACGCAAAUUUAAUGAGCUACAUACUUUUAAGUUUGUUACUUUCAAUUUUUUUAGAAAUAAUAUUUUUAUUAUUUUUAAAAAUUUAUUUUUAACAUCAAUACAUUAAAAUGAUCUAAAAAUACUAAAAUUUUAUUUUUAAAUAAAUUUUUUUAAUUUUUUAAAAAUAAUAUUUUUAUCCUAAAAACAAAAUUAACAAGUUUGAUUUGACAAGAAAAAUUGUAGCUGUAAUUUUUUUUCUCCAUCUUGUUAAGUAGAAAAAAAAAUCAUUCCUCUAAAUUAGUGUGGAGAAAAAUUAGAAAGGAUGAUUGACUACGGUGAAUAUAUAUUAGGAAUUAAAUUAGGUUUGAAAAUUCCAAAUUCGAUUAAAAACAUUCCUUUUUUUCUUAAAAAUAAAAUAAAAUUAAAAUCUAAGACAGCUUAGUGCUACAUCUACAAAAAUAAGACGAAGGGGGUUAAUUGAUUGACAUAUUUAAAAUCCCAAGAAUGGUUUAAUUAUAUAUUUUGUUCUAAUUUAUUCGAUUUUGAUAAGCUACAGAAACGUACUGCUUAUAAUUACUCGCCAUUAUGAUCUAGCUAAAGCCAUGUAUGCUACAGACAUCCAGGUCCAAUCCAUCCUCCAUCGACGCUAGCUGCUCUUGGACUGGACUCCUUGCUCAGAUGGCUUGUCUUAUGAUGUGCUCUAAUCUCAAUAAUAAAAGAUUACCAGCCAUUAACAGGAUUACAUGGACUCCAUCAAUGGAAAAACUAAUUGCAGAGAGUCUUAAAAAAUGAUUACAGUGAGGCGAUGAAGACGAAAAGCCAUCAAUUCUCUCAAGUUAUUUUUCGUAUUAAAGAAGUAAAAGCAGAGGCAGGGAGGUGAACCAGAGAAAGGAGAAAGCAAUAGGAGGGAAGGGCAUGCGGUACUUGAUGCAUUAAAUGCACAGAAACAAGAACGUGGUCCAUGCAGGUUUAGCUACACAUAUACCAGUGCUGUACAUCACCCCCGUUCCUAAUUUUGAGACUGGAAAAAAACAAAGGACUAAACAGUGAAGCAACUUUAAUCUCUUUUGCUUUCCUUUGUACCAGCUAUGGCUCACACAUGUAGCCUCUUUAUCCUCAUCAAUUAUGCCUAUUAAACCUAACCUACAUAUACUGUCUUUAUAGGCCGGGAGGGGACUUCAAUUUCAAGACUUUGAGCAUAGGAAUCUUGUGAGAGAAAUCAAUGAAUCUCUUACGGCUAUAAUUCGACCAAGUUGCUGAUGAAUCUUUAUGUCAGUGUAUAAUUGUGCCCAUGGUGCUUUCUUACGACUAUAUAUAUAUAUAUAUAUGUAUGCUUAUUGCCCCAAUACAUCUCCCAGCAUCCUGCAUUCAUCAGCUUUAUCAGAUGUAGUGUGAUUAUUUAGCUUUUAAUAUAUCAGGCACCCCGUCAUUACUGGAAUUGUAUGAGGCAGCUCUCUUUUUUCAUUUUCAUUUUCUUAUUUAUUUUGAGAAUAUAUACUUGUAUGGCGAAAUAUUAAUUAAGUGCAAGCUGUGAGUGUACAUGCCCCACACCAUCAAGAUUCGCGUAUUGAAUUUGGUCCGUUCUCUCAAGAUCGAGCUAGCUAUACAGUUGCAGGAAUAUUUGUGCAUCAAUGGUAAUUAAGAUGGGUAAGCAUGCAGGCUGUUCUGGGUUUUCUCUCAAUUAUAAAUGCAUGGUACUGUAGACUCUAGCUCGGCAUCUUUGAAGCAUAUCUACAAGAUCAGGGAAAUCAGCAGUGCACCUCUAUGUGCCUGUUUUCACCAUUUAUAGUUUGCUCUUUAGCUGCCAUUUCUGUUCAUCUACAGUAUGAAAUUUUAACUAUAUCUCAAAGCUUGCGCUUCAAAACUAGCUAGGUAGUGGCAUGAUUCCUAUAUCUAUAUAUAUAUAUAUAUAUAUACACGCAUAAAUAUAGUGGCACAAUUCCCAACAUGAGAUAAUGUAAUAUUCUGCAUUGAUUCGAGAUUAUUUUCAAUGUAACGUUGCUUCGAUCUGGAAAGCCGAAUAAAAGCAUAUAUAAAGAAACAUGUGUGCAGGUUUGAGGCCAAAUUAGGUAAAUAGUACCCAAGAAAUACAAGUGGGUCGCACAUCCUAGCUAGCUCUUGGCUCAUAUGGCAAAGAGUACUGAUCAGUUGCAACCCCCUAACGGGUACACAUCCUGGCUAGCUAGAGCUUGCCUUCGAACUCGGCGAUUGCAUUCUCAUAAUCAAACUGUAGAAGAAACGUAAAUUAAGAAUAUAUCUCGAAAUUAAACCACUGAUCCGGAUAUAAAAGGAACUUCUCAGCAGUUUCUUACAGUAGGUUAGCUAUCUGGGAGGGAGAUUGUACAUGCCAAAACUCUAUUCCUCAAAAAAUAUAUAUAUCAUCGUUUUGCUUGGAUGCAAAAUGUAUAAUAGAGCAUUUCUGAUACGUGCAGCAGGAGGAUGAUCGGUGUAAGAUCAUGUAACUCAGUUUAGGGCUGCACAAAUCAAACUUAAUUAAGAAGGAAUCAAUUAAUGAUGCAUCAUCUUAAAUUAAGAAAACACUUACCGACAAGAUGAUCGUAUAUAGAAGGAAUGAUAGAUUGAAGGGCUCAUUUAAUAACAUAAUCCCAUUGUGCAAGCAACUGAUAAUAAAAACAUAAAAAUGAUGACAUAUAACACAUCAACAGCAUAUACAUUAAUUUUGCUACAAAUCAUAAGACACCUUGGAAUCUGGUGGUUAGUGGAUUUCCUCCCCACUAAUCAUCUGAGGUUUGAAUUUGAGGGCAGGUCACAAGAAAGAAUAUAUAUAUAUAUAUAUAUAUCUGUGAUUACAUUAGUCUGGAUGUGGAUAGCUUACUUAAAAUAUGACUAAGAUAAUAUAUCGGCUAGAUUUGUUCACAUGAUUCAGAUGAAAGAAGCAUGAAGUAUAUAUAUCUGCUCAGGAUUUGGUUGAUAUCAUAUCCCAUCAUUAAAUCUUCACUUUCUGUGAUAUAUUCGAAUUUGAAUCUGUAAUCCCCUAUUGCGUUUCAUAAUGAAAAACUUAUAAUUCGUUAUUUAUCUCUAAUCGUGGACAGUAUUUUCUAAUUGGGAAAACAUUCAACUAAUUUUAUCACCAAUUCCCAAAGGUAUUUUUGCCAUGCAAAGCAAAUGGACUCUCAUACAUACAAAAACAUCGUUGGUCUGAAGAAGAAGAAGAAAUGUGUAAUUAUAUAGCUUUAUGGAGCAAUUUUACAUUGAACAUACAGUAAUUAUCGAAUAUUAUUGCUAAUCAACUGCUUAAAUUUGAUUCGAUGAAUGUCUUCUGUUUUCUUUUAGUGAAAAACAGUUGGUUCCAUAUGAUGGAUCCAUAGUCAAUGGCCGCAAUCACGUUUUUUUUUUCGUUGCAGCAGCCGUGCUUUAAUGGCUUUUCUUCUUCUUUUUCUACUUUUUUGGCUAUCUUCUUAUUAGCCAAAAGUUAAUAAAAUCUCCACAAUUGUCUAAAAGAGGCCGUUUUACUGUCUAAAUUAUCAAAGCUUCAACUACUUUAAUUGAAGCCGUGACUCAGGUGUCCAAAUUAAUCAAUGGAUGAGUUUGCGGCUUCAGACAAUAUCUUAGGCACAUCAAUCUCUUUGACCAUAACGUCAUGCUUCCCAAAUUAAGUAUACCAAUGUACAUAAUUAAUUACAUGUACUCAUCGAAUUACUAACAGUAAUCACAUGUGAAAGAACAUGUAGUGUGUGUAGGUACACGUACAUGUAUUCGCAUGAAUUGAUCUAAUUAACUUCUUCUUAAUGUACUUAAUUAUUACUAUCAUUGUUCUUGUUAUAUUAAUUACAGUCAUUUUCUUCCCUAAUUGAGAGUUGAUUUGUUUGCAAAGAUUUUUUGGAUUCUACUUUUAUGAGCGGUAGAUGUUUUGUAGUGACCACAUGAGGUGAAAAACUGCAGAGUUUCUGACAGAGACGCUAUCCAUCAAGCUUCCAUAAAUUGAAGAACCAAUUCCAAGGAUUUAUAAUAUUUUUGAAGAUUUAGGGGUCUUAACGUGGUCUCUCUUGAGCUCAAUGCCCAAAUUAAUGAUCUUUUGUGCAAUUAGAAACAGAAUAUUUUAGCAGCUUCCCGAAGAUAUGAUCUCUCUAACAUGAUGAAAUUUAUUAGGUUUUGAAGUAUGAACAAAACCAUCAAAGCACUAGGAGAAGAUUUGUUGGCAGUGCACAUACCAUAAAAGGAACUUUCAGGAACCAUCCGUGAAGGCAGUAAUUGUACCUUUGAAAUGACAGCAGUCUUGACCACAGACAGAGCCAAAGCUCACUACAAAAUGUUAUGGGUUGUGAAGAUGAUGAUCUUGUAAAGAAGGAUGCAUAUUGAAUCCCAUAUUCAUCAUCUGCACAGACACACGCACAAAAUGAAAAAAAAAAAAAAAGGGAUCAAUGUGUGUGUGUGUGUGUGUUAUAUAUAUAUCAUUUCCGAAUCAAAUCGAACAAGGCUACGAUUGUUAAAUAGUAAUCAGUAGAAAUUAGAUAUAGUGCUUGGAAAAACUAAAAAGAAAAAUCCAGAAUUUCAAAGAGAAGCAAAGGAUUCAUAACUCUUUCAUUAUAUAUUGAGAAUUCGUAUAUAGAAUGAUUAUAGAAUCACUACAGUAGUUAAUUUUAGAGCUUCAAGAACAAACCAAGGAAUUAAGAAAGAAUUAAUGCUUGUCGGAUUUUGCAAUAACAAAAACAUAAAGUUGCUGAAGACCACCCCAUUAAUUUUUCUACCGCUAAAGUUAGAAAGGGUAGCCAAUGCAAGCAAUGUUAGAGCGAGCUAGAUUCUAAACAAAGAACCAUAAAAUAUACAAUGUAACCAUCAUAUAAAAACUGAAACACACAGAAUACAGUGCUCUCUUUAACCUCAGAUUUCCAUACGCAAAAUGGGCUUCAAAAGACAUUAAACAAAGCACUUGACCGCUUAAAAAGACUCGGUGGUAUCACGAUACCUUAUUGAUAAAUCUCUUUCAGCACAAAAGCAGUUUUUGUUUGUGUUUGCUGCAAUCCAGACAAGAGGGUGGCUGUAAAAGAAACAAUGUGUUGCGGAGAAAGAAAUGUAACAAUGCUAACAGUAGUUUUUAAGAUGUAGAGAGAUUGAUUAAAAAUAAAUAAAGUAAAAAAAAAGAGUAAGAAUACAGAAGCUAACUUUUACAGCUGCUGUAAACUUUCUGCGCAGAACCUGCAAUCCAACUCAACUAAGCAUCACCAAGAAUAUUAACCCAAUGAGGUAAUACAAACAAAAAAGAAAAAAGAGAAAAUACGAAAGAAGUUUCCACUUUAUAUCCUUUGUCUAGCAAUGUAACCAUAAAAUGCUGUCAUCAAGAGAGAGAGUAAGCUUGAAGUUGAUGGCUAAAGAGGGAACAGAAAUUCACCCAAACAAACUGGGGAGAGUCCAUUGCAUGUAUAGAGUCAAUAUAUAGCAAUAAGUUAAGCCACCAGUCACUAAAAGAAAACAUUGAUGGAAAUAUUAAUUCUGAUAUUUAUCUGUAUAAUGUAUUAUACACAAUUAAAAGAGUUUUUCAAACUCCACAUUUCUUGCACCACUCUUCCAUCUUUUGAUCUUCACAAUAUACCCAAAACCUCGUCUUUUAAUUUGCUGACAUUAUUUAAACAAUCAACAAAAAGAAACUCAAAAAAGGCUAAACUUGAAAAAUUUCUUGAAAGCCUCUUACCUAAAUCUAGUACCCAUAUUGAGAAAUCAGAUGUGAAGGAACAGAAGAAAUGGUAUCUUCAUAUGUGAUUAAAGAUCCAGAUCAAAAGAUAAGGAAUUCUUUCCUUUCUUCGAAAACUCAGCUUGCAUUGGGGCACUAGUGGGUGCCCUUAAUUGGAGAGGAGGAGGGAGAGAAGAUGAAGCCAAAUGAGAAGAGAAUGAACCAAUUGUGCCAUGUGUCAUUGUGAUAGAAGAUGACCGAUCAUCAUCCUGUGUAGGACAAUCCAUGUUUACACCAAACAACCUGAGCCGCUUCCCCGCAGUUUUACCGUGAACAACCGGCACCGAAUCUAUCACCAGUGGGACAUGACUUCCUCCAGCUUGUUGAUGCAUUGCCCCAUUCUGAAGUGUCUCCGAUGGCCUUAAGUAAUACUGCGCUGAGUUGCCAUAACUAAUCGUAGACGGUUGAUGAUAAUGAUUCUGAUGAUUACGGUUCUGAUGUUGCUGUAGUUGAUAAGGAUGAAUGCUGUAAUUCAAAUGUCGCAAUUGAGGUUGCUGCAUGGAUAAAUUAGAUUGGGGAGAGUACAGCCUGCCCCACCGCACUGACUGUGGAUAGUGUUGCUGAUUUUGGAGCUCUAAAUGUGAGAAUGUUGUUGGAUCUGGUGCAUUAGGCCUGCGUCUCCAGUCUAUGAACAGACGAUGCUUGCCUGACUCACCAACACCGCGUUGGAACGACACAAUAUCGCCUGCAUCGAGCCUUUUUUCUUUUACAAACCGGCUCCAACCUUUGGUCAUUACAUAGCUUUGACUACUGUUCCAAUAAGAGUACCGGAACCGCCAUGGCUUGCCGUUCCGGUCUUCAAAGUUCAAGAGGAGGCCUUUUUCAUUCGAUGAAGAAUCAAGAGGGAAGUACCUCUCUGCGUGUUGCUUUGGUAUAACAAGACGGUUGAGCUUGCCUACAUCACUUGGGGUCACUACUUUGUCAAACAUGUGCUCUCUCUCAAUAGACUCUCUAGCUCCGACAACAGCAGCGGCACUAGUGCUCUCAGUUUCGUUGUUAUUUCCCAGUGAUAAUUCCAUGAGCUCUAGCUUCUUAUCAAAAUUGAGAGAUGGUUCUUGGGUUUUGCUAUCUUGUUGUGACUGAUCAAAUGAACCAGGCCACAUGCUGUGGUGCUCGGGAAGAAAAUUUUUGUACUUGGUAGAAGAAGAUGAUGUACAUGGAGAAGAAAAGAGGAGCUUACUUGUCUUCACAGCUUCCUCUCCUUCUUGUUUCUCUUCCCCUUGUUCUUCUCUAUCAAAAUCCCCUCUUUCUCCUUCAACGAAGUUCAUGAUGACCCACUAAGAGCUUCUUAUGAUCACAGUGGAUCUUGAAGAAUUGAAAUCCAACAACCAAAAUAGAAAUGAUGAUUGAGGAGAAAGAAAGAAAAGAAGAAGAAAAAAGUGGGGUUACGACUUUUUAGCGAAAUAUCGAGCACAAACAAGGCCUUACCUCACCUGCUCUAGAGGAUUUGGUUUCUUGUUUAAAAGAUUUUCUCUUUCAAAAUCUGUGAGGCCACAAAGAAGAGAAGCAAAGGGGGAGCAAUCAUCUAGCUCAAUACAAACCAAAGAGUCGGUGCCUUCUUCUUUGACUAAAAAUAAAAUAUAAAAACAAAACACUCAAAACCCUAAACAAGACAAGCCAUACGGUAAUUCAAUAUUAGAAAGAAAGAAGGCAAGUUGUUCAUCAUUUGGUUGACCUUGCUACAUCAGAGAGAGAGGUGUUGUAUGAGGGUUUUUGCUUCCCAAUUAUAGUUUCCUAAAAUCUUCUCUCUCUACAAGCAACGAACCACAAAUAUUUUCUCGCUUCUUUCUGCUAUUAAAGAACGACCCAUGAGGAUUCGAGGAUUGAGGACUGAGAGAGGAUUUGUGCGUAUGGGCCCAUGGAUGAUCUGGUUCGACUCAUGUGAGCUCUGUCCUUUUCAUCAUUCUUGGGUUUUCUCUAUAUAUUAGGGAGUGAGCAAUCAGCUUAAGAUGAUUUUUUUUCCUCCCUUUUUUUACUUUCAAGUCACAUGCAUCAUUAUGGUUAUUUUUGGGGUUUCUUCUAUUUUAUCUACAGGUCAGUUGCUGCUAGAGAAAGGGUAUGUUCAAGUUAGGUUUUGAGUUUUGACUUCGGUGCCAUUGAUUAAAUUGUGUGCUGGUCCUGGCAGAGAGAGAGAGAGAGAGAGAGAGAGAGAAGGUAGUGAGGGUAAACAGACCGACCUGGCGCCCUCCUAUUCUCAUCCUCAUCUAGCUAGUGGGCAUAGAUUCCUCCAUUUUAUAUCGUGCUUGUUUGCACAACAAACCAAACCCAUUUAGGUUUCUCCACUCCUGUUCUUUAUAAGACCUUGUUGCCUUUGAUCUACGCUUUCAUGUCCCAAUAUAUGGUUAAUUAUUAAUUAAUAGGUGCCUUUUUCCAUCCUUCUCGUUCAAUAAAAAUAGAAAACUUUAAAUUUUAGCUCCCCGUGAAGUCUUUUUCCUCUAUUUCGGCUCUCCCAGAUUAAAAUUCCAAGUUCCAUGGAUACAAUUUCGAUUUUACAACUAACCAGAAUCAAUCCCACGUUUAUAAGAAAUAUCGUAUGUUAAAUAACUCCUGAAAUUCUUAUUCUCGACAUAAGGGGGGGUUGAAAUCAACAACGUCAACCUUUCAGCUCUCGUGUGCUGUAGAAUAUUGUCUGGUGUCUUUGGUUAAGUGCUCCUUGUUAACGAAUUUGUCAAUGACGCAUGGUGAGCAAGGUUCAAACCCGAGUCAAUAAUGAAAUGUGCUAAAAAUAUUAAAUCAACACAUGAUACAAGUGUAAUAAAGAGGGAUAAAAACAGAAAAAAAAGAAAAAAGAAUAUAUAUUCGCAAUAUUUCAGAUGAAGAAAUCACUCCAAAUUAAUAAAGCUAUGAAAGGCGAACGGGGCAUCAAAAGAAAACGUCAGCUAGCUUGUAUAGAGAUUUUCUUGGAGUUUGAGUCAUUCAUGCACUCUUUCUUAGAAACACUGCAUAUUUAACAUUUCAUGCUAUUUUUUUUUUUUUCAGAUUAAUUUGUAUAAAUCUCAACUAAUUUUCAUGGAUCUUGAAAUUAAUAAUCAGAUAAAUCUUAGAUAAUUAUUAAUAUUAACAAUUACAGAACUCGAAUUUAAAAUCACAAAAUAAACAAAUCCCUUAAUCUUAAACUCUUAUCACUUACCACUUAAUUGAUAGUUUUUAUGAUAUUAUUUAUUAAUAUUUCAUGCUAACUGUCGAAUUUUCGAUACAUUAAUCGGACAUAGCAGCAUAUAAUUUUUUUUUUUAUCAAGAACUACUACUUAGACUAGGAUUCCUAUUAAUAUCUACCGAUCUUUCUUUUAAUUUGAUGUUCUUAAAUCCUUUGUUUAGCAAUAAAAAAAAUCUUCUAUAAACAGGUUCUUCUACAAUGCGAACACUAAGUUUAAAUUUUUUCAUACCCAUCAUCUUUUUAAAGAACAAAUAAGUGUUAAGAGACUUUAAAAUUUCAGCAAUUCAAUCCUUAAACUUUUAAAUUUUCAUACCCAUCAUGAUUUCUUGAUUUUUCAUCAAAUUACGAAUAUAAUAAUACUUAAUAUCAUUAUAUUUUUCACGAUCAGAUUCUUUUGCUGCUAAAAAAUAAGAUGAGGAGAAACUGUCUAAUUCAUUACAAUAAAACUAAAAUUCAAUACAUAUUUAAUUAGCAACGAAAAACCCAUUAAGGAUUUUUCAUUGCUGAUAUAGCUAUAUAGUUUUUUUGUUUUGUUUUUUUUCCCUGAGUUGAGCUUUUAUAUGAAACAAUAACCUCUUUGUCAGACAAUCAUGGGAAGCUUGUGCUCUGUUUCCAUGUCUUGGUCAUAGGCUUAUUAAUUGCCUGGUGAUUUAACAAUAAGAAUCGAUUGUGGGGCAUACCAUAUCUCGCAGUGUAUCUCUCUAUUCAUCUGCUGGGCUUAUUAAAACUGACCACCCAAAUCAUGUGCAUCGAACAUUUUUUUUAAUGCAAAAUACCCAAACUAUCUUUACCUCUUAUUCAAAUUGAUCACCCAAAAUACUAUCAUUCUUUUUCUCCCCUCUACUAACAGCUUCAUAGUUGAUAUUAAAGAGAGAACAAGAAAUAAUAACAAAUAGAAACAUGAACCAAUCUCAACAUUUUAUUUUCAACAAUAAUAACAUCAACUUAAAGAGAGAAAGUGAACGAUGUCGUGCAUUUUUCCUUUUGGUUUUUGAAGAAAAUGAAAAUCAACAACAAUUAAGAAAGCAGUUAAGAAAUGAGGAUUUUGAAUUCAGAGUGAUAGAUGUUACCAAACUUUAGGUAUUGACUUAGUACGUAUUUUAGCUUUCUGUAAUUGAUAAUCCCUGGAGAUCAGGGCGCUAGCCUGUUUUGUUUCUAUGACCUAUGUUUAUGUGGAAUAACAAUAUUGUAUAUUCGUUAUUUUGUUACCUUAUGUACAACUAUAUAUAAAGUCACCUUGCAUAUUAAAGAAUAUAAACUUUUCUCCUAAAAAAACUACCUUUAAUAUUUGGUAUCAAAGCUUUUUCGAACCUAUGCCAAAGUUUUUCAAAUCUUGUAGCCGCAGCUAAAGAUGACAACUAAAGGCAGUUUUGUUCAACCAACAAUUUCAUGAUUUGCUGGGCAUUAUAAUCAUUCUAGCAUGCUGAAGGAGAAUUUUCUUCACUCCAAAGAAUACUGGCAUGUAGUUGAGAGUGGAAUUUCUAUUACAAUGAAGGAUGUCGAUCUCUCAGAUGAAAAAAAAAAAGGUGGCAAAUUAGAGAUUGAAAGGCUUAUGAGCAAAGAAUUAUCUCUUUCAGACCAUUGAUCGUUCAAUCCUUAAAACUAUCUUGGACAAAGAGACUUUGAAGGGAAUCUGGGAUUCUAUGAAGAAAAAGUUUCAAGGGAGUGCACAACUGCAGGUCUUUUGCAAGGAUUUUGAAAUCCUUUAUAUGAAGGAAGGUGAGACUGUCUCUAACUACUUUUCUUGUACUCUUAUCAUUGCUAAUGAAAUAUGCUUUCAUGGUGAAACAAUGACUAAUGUUAUUAUUAUUGAAAAGAUCUUAUACAAUAUUGAAAAGACUUGGAAACUAUUUCUAUUGAUGAAUUACAAAGUAGCCUAUUGGUUCAUGAACAACACAUGAAAAGAUAUAUUGUGGAAGAGCAAGCAUUAAAGAUUACUCAUGACAACAGUGUUAGCGAACUAGGCCUUGGCGGAGGUGCUUUUCGAGGUAGGGGAUAAGGGCAUGAGAGAUAAAGUUUUGAUAAAUCAUUUGAUAAAUCUUUUGUUGAAUGUUUUUUAUUGUCAUGAACUUGGCCAUUUUCAGUAUAAAUGUCCAAAGAAAGGCAAGGAAAAUGAGUCGCAAGUUUAUUAUGCUGAAACCACUAAAUCACUGCUGCUUAUGACAUAUAUUGAUGUUAUGAAGAUGGUAGGAUAUAAUAAAGAGUCAAAAGGCUAUUUUUCAAAACAUGGUACUCUUAAAGUUGAUAAAGGCACGAAAGAGUUCUUCUCAUGACUCAUGUCGAUAAAACACCUAAUGAAAUGACAUGGUUCUUAGACUUGAGAUGUUGUAACCAUAUAUGCAUAUAUAACGAAUUCUUUUCAUAACUAGAUGUGAGCUUUCGCAAGUCAGUAAAGCUGGGCGACAACUCUAGCAUUGGUGAAAUGGGAAAAUGUCGUAUUAAUAUCUAAGUUAAUCAUGUUUCGUAAGUUAUUAUAUAGUUAUUUUAUAUUUCUAAAUUGAAAAACAAUAACUUAUGCAUUGGCCAACUGUAGGAGAAAUGUUUGGUAAUUUUAUUUCGAUAUAACAAGUGUAAGGUGUACCACUUAGUGAGAGGUUUUAAUAUCGAAACAACCAUUUCUCUUAAUAUGAUGUUUAUCCUUCUUAUCAAGAUUCAACUUCAAGACCAACAUUGUUUUCUCACUCUAACACAAAAUCUGGAUUAUCUCUACCAUUGUCGGUACUGCCAUUUAUGUUUUGGAGGUUUCAAAACUCUACAGAAAAAUAGAUGGUUUACAAGUUGCCGCAUCUGCAAUGUUCCAGCUUGUUAUACAAAGAUUAUAUGCUGGGAAAACAACAUAAAAGUUUCUUUCCAUGAGAAAGUAUGUGGAGAGGAUCGCCACCAAUUCAGCUCUUUCAUUCGAACCUAUCUAAGCCAAUUUUUCCUAUCUCCAAAGUCAUAAAAGGUAUCUUUUAACUUUUAUUGAUGACUUUAGCCAGAAUUAUGGGUUUUUUUUCUUAACAAAGAAGUCAGAUGCUUUUAGAAUGUUCCAACUUUUCAAAAUAAAGGUUAAGAAAGAAGCUGACAAGCUGAUAUUAGUAUCCAGGGUUUGCAAGCUGAUUAAGGUGAGGAUUUUACAUUUACCAAGUUUAUUGAGUUCCAUGCAACCAAUGGGAUACAUUGUCAACUCACCACAACCUACACUCCUCAGCAAAAUAGAGUGGCAGAAAGGAAAAAUCAAACGAUCAUGAACAUGAUUCGAAGUUUGCUCACUAGUAGAUAAGUUCCAAAAACUUUUUAGCCUAAGGCUACCAACUAGGCGGUACAUAUUCUUAAUAGAAGUCCUAUACUUGCAGUUCAAAAUAAAACUCCAGAAGAGGAAUGAAAUCGCACUAAACCAUAUGUUGCUCAUUUUUUACUGUUUGGGUGUCUCUCUUAUGCUCAUGUUCUAGAUAGAAAAUGCACCACAUUGGAUAGCAAAAGCUCAAAAUAUGUUUUGUUAGGAAUUAACAAGGAGUCCAAAGCUUAUCGUUUGUAUGAUCCACUUUCUCAAAAGAUGCUUAUUAGUUAUGAUGUAAUCUUUAAUGAAGAUGAAAGUUGGCCCUAAGAUGAUAGUCAUACUGAAGCAAUUCAAGCAUCUCUUGAUUGGAGUGAUAUAGAUAAAGACAUUAAAAUUAAUAUCCAGGAUAAAACCAUAGACAACAAUUUUGGUGGGACUAGUUAUGAGAAAGGCAAUGGAUCCAUUAGUGCUGAUAAUCGUGGUGGCUUUCAUGAAAAGAAUUUGGAGCAUCAAAUAACUAAAUAAUACACAAAUAUUGAUCCUAUUUCCAAUCCUACUGAAAGCCAUUCUUGACACCCACCAAUCUGGAUGUGUGACUAUGACAGUGGCGAGGGCUUCUUUAAUAAUGAUCAUCAAGGUAAUUUUGCUUUAUUUAUUGAUGGGGAUCCUUUAUCCUAUGUGGGUGUAGCUUAAAGUGCCAAAUAAAGAUGUACCAUGAACUCUAAAAUUAAAGCCAUUCGAAAAAAUGAUACAUGAGACCUCACUAAACUUCAUUAUGGCGCAAAAAAGGUUAGGUGAAAUGGGUAUACAAGACUAAGCUAAAUGAUUAUGGGGAAGUUGAAAAAUACAAGGCUCGCCUUAUCGCCAAAGGGUAUAAACAACAGCAUGGGGUAAAUUACAUUGAGGCCUUUACACUCGUGGCUCGCAUAGAUACUAUAUAGCCGAUGCUUGCUCUAGCAGCUUAAAAAGAAUAGUAUUUAUUUCUUCACAGUGAGUUAAAUAAGGAGGUGUAUGUUAAGCAACCCCUUGGUUUUGUGGUAAAAAAAAGCAGAAAAUAAGGUGUAUUACUUGCGGACAACUUUGUAUGGCUUAAAGCAAAUGAGCAUGGUACAGUUGUAUUAAAGCUUAUUUUCUGAGGGAAAGGUUUGAGAAAUGUCCUUAUGAGCAUACUUUGUUCCUAAAAAAAUCUUCACAGGGUACCUUCUUGCUUGUGUGGCUUUAUAUAGAUGACAUCAUCUUUACUAGAAAUCAUGAGACUUUGUUAAGCUCUUUUAAACAUUCAAAAUGAAGGAAUUUUAUAUGAUGAAUUUUGGAUGAAUGUGAUAUUUUCUUGGUUUAGAAGACCUACAAUGACCUGGUGGUAUUUUUAUUUGUCAAAUGAAGUAUGCCUAAAAGGUGUUGGAGAGGUUUAAUAUGGUUGGUUGUAAUCCCGUAUUUAAUCCUAUUGUUCUAGGAUUCAAAUUGGUUAAAGACUUUGCUGGUAUGGUAGUGGACAAACCUUGUAAAUGCAAAUGGUAAAAAGUUUGAUGUAUUUAACAAUAACCAGACCUGAUAUUAUGUUUGUUGUUAAUUUGCUUAGUAGGUAUUUGACGCAUUUUACAAAAAUCCACCUCCAAAUUGUUAUGAGAGCACUUUGUCAUAUCAAGGGGACACUUACAUAUGGAAUUUCUUAUAAAUAAAGUGUUUAUAAGGAGCCUUUUGCCUACACCAAUAAUGAUUAUGUAGGAGAUUUGGAGGAUAUAAAAAGUACAUUGGGUUUUUAUUUCAUUUUAUUUUUGCUAAGCUUAGGAGCUGUAUUAUGGUCUUCAAAGAAGUAGCCUAUAGUCACACUCUCCACCACUAAAACUGAGUUCAUUGUUGUUGCCUCCUAUGUAUGUCAGACCGUGUGGUUGCGAAAAAUGUUAGAAAAGCUUAAUCAUGUCUUUAUUGGGGCUAUCAUGAUGUACCAUGAUAAUAUUUCUACUAUUAAACUCUCAAAAAAUGCUGUCAUGCACAGUCAAAGCAAACAUAUUAAUGUUCUCUUUCAUUUCCUUCAUGAUCUGACUCAAGAUAGAGUUGUGACAUUGUUGCAUUGUGAUUAAUACUAAAAAGUGUAUUUUUAUCAAGGUUUUAUAUCAUCAUUUUGCACUUGAAGUAUCAAUGACUCCUUAAAUAGAGCAUGUUUUAUAAUAACAAGCCUAAUAAUAUAAGAUACCUUUGAUUUAUGGUAAAUGUUUAUUUUAAAUGUAGGUCUAUCACAUAAAUCAAAGAAUCGAUUGAUGAGUUUAACUACUGAAAUUGAGAAGACAAAGAAAGGGUUAAGCUUAGAAAAGAUAUGCUGAUUCAAUAACUAGAACACUAUUCAGUCAUUGGGUCAUAUUUGGAGUUGUAGAUCUUGGAUUUCAUUUUGGUUUAUAUGGUUAGAAAGCUAAGACAUAUGCCUAAAACAUUUACGAAGGGUCCAAGACUUAAUUUUUCCGUUUGAAAGUCCAAAUCUUAGCAUUAAAAGAGAAGUCCAAAUCUGCCUUGUAUCACAAACACUAUUCAGUGUUUAGCCCAUAUCUUGAGUUCUAGAAGUCUAAAUGACCUCAUUCCUAUUGUGUUAGAAAGCUGAGAUAAUUUCCCAAAACUUUCAUGAAAAAAUUUGUUCAAAUUCUGAUGUUAGCAAUGAUGUUUUAUACAGAUAAGAAAAUAAGGAUUGCUACCAAGUCAAGAGAUGGCCACCCACUCAACAAUUAGUCAUCAAAUCAAUAGUUCUGAAUUUUAGCAUUUUCCAUGCAUUUAGGCAUCUUGGUUUUCAAAUUAAGAUCAUAUUCUUGCUUUCUCUCUUUGUAUUUUUGUAAUGUUUAAGUUUUGCUUUCAUUAAUCUCUUAUUUAUGCAUCAUAACUAUGUCCUUAUCUAGUUUAUUUAUGUUUCUCUUCUUCAUAAUGUUUAGCUAAGUUUAUUAUGUCAAGGUGAAAAGGUUUCACUAAUGGUAUUAGAAUAGGUAUAAUAUAAACUCAACAUGGACCUCAAUGUUUAUAUCCAAGAAAGUGUGCUAUUAACAUAUCUUAUCUUUUUAUCUUAUUAAUUCUUAAUACCUUGCUUGUUAAAUGGUUAAUCUAGAUUUGUGUUGUUUAACACUUGGUACAACAAAUGUUUGGCACUUUCAUAGCCAACCGUAUAAUAUAACCUACAGUUGUGCUAUGAAAGGAACUUGACUUGUUAAUAUAAGUUACCAUCAUGAAUUUCUGACAAUAUUUAAAAAUAUGGUGUUACUAAAAUAAGAUAAUUAAUAUGAUCAUGUUAAAAUUUAUAAUGAACUAUUAAGGAUAAAUCAUCCGAUUGGAACCUCCUUUGUGUGUGCUUUCCAGUUGAUUAAUAAAAAGAGUUUAUACUAUACUUAUUUCUAAUAUUAUUAGUGGAUCCUUUAACCUUGAUAAUUGUUUUUAUCUUUGAUUAAUACUUACAUCAAUAUCACAUCUCAAAAGUUCUCUUCAACUCCUUUUUAUUUGUUGUUUAUAAUUUUAUAUAGUUCACCUCCCUAUGGUUCGACCUCGGUUUUGCCGGGUUAUUUAUUACUUCGACACUCAUGCACUUGGGAUAAGACAUUAAUCUUUUGAUCGUGUUAUAAUGUCAUUCUCAAGAGCAAUUGGCUGAUAUCAUUACCAAACCCUUGACACAAGUUGUUUUUUAGAAGCUGCGUAUGUUGCUUGGUGUUUGUUAGGAUCUAGAAGUAAACUAAAGAUAAUGUCAUCAGUUUAAGAGAGGGACUAGUUUAGGUGUUGAUUUAGUAUUUCAACUUUAUGUUAUUGAUAAUCCUUGGAAAUCAGGGAACUGGCUUAUUCUUUGGUUAUGAACCGAGUUUAUUGGAAUAACAUUGUAUUAGUUUUUCAUUUACCUUCUAUAUAGUUAUAUAUAAAGCGACCUUGCAUACUGAAUAAUAUAAGAUUUUCUCCUAAAAAACUAGAUUAAAUAAUAAUUAAAAAAAAGAUAUAUGUUUUGUUCUUGAUUUCUUUCGUUUUAUAAGAGGGAGGUGGAGUUGUGGUUGUUGGAUUAAAUGGUGAUCCAUGUGAGGGGCGAGGUUUGGUUUUUGAGCCAUUGGAUUUUAAAUGCUUGAAUGUGAUUGGUGGAAACAAGGUAAGCACGAUCGUGGUUUUCUUGUGGAGUGAAAAAUGGAAAUUUUCAACUUAAAAAUGUUAGCGAAAGGUAUUUAUUUAUUUAUUAGAUAAAAUAUUGUUUUUCAUCAUUGUUAAACUCGUUAUUGAUUGUAUUUAUUUAUAUAUUAGAUAAAUUAUUGUUUUUCAACUUCAUUUCUAAUUCACUGUUAAAUCAAUAACUAAACUAUUAUGUUACUAAAAUACAAUGCUAAUAGCCUUAUUGUUAAUGGUGUUUGUUUAUCCAAUAACGGAUUUGUUAUCAUAAAAGGUCUUUAUUAGCUUGUUUUGAUAAUUUUACAACUCACCAAACAUUCUUUUUAACCACACAACUUGAGUAACACAACUUCCAGCUACAAUAUACUCUACCUCUAUAGUAAAAACAAUAACCACUUAUUGUUUCUUUGAAGACCAAGAAAACACACUAGGACCAAGAUGAAAAACAUAAUUUAAAGCACUCAUUUUCUUUAUAGUGUUACCCGCCCAAGCUCAACAUUAUUAACAUAAGAAUAAAAGAUAUCAUCAUUUUAUGUAUCUUUGACAUAUCUCAAAAUAUACUUUGAUGCUUGCAAAUAAGAUUGACAUAGAGUCUUUAUGAAUCUACUAACAAUGCCAAUAACAUAUAUGAUAUCAAGCCGAGUAGUAGUUAAAUAUCAAAAGCUUUCAAUCAAUCUUUAAAAAUUGAUUAAAUCAACCAAAUUAUCACUUCCAUCUUUCAUAACCUUUAAUCUUUCUUCCACUAGAGUCAAAAUUAGAUUACAAGAUUUCAUCUUGAUGUUUUUAGCACAUCACUAGCAUACUUUUUUUAUUAAAUAAAUAUGCCAUCCUUUGUUCAUGUAAUCUCAAGACCAAAAAAGUUAGACAUCAGACCCAUGUUUGUCAUCUUAAGCCAGCAAUUGUGGUUUCUUUAAACUUCAUCAUCAAUCUUAAGUUGUUACUUGUAAAAAUCAAAUCAACCACAUAUAAAUAUACAAUACGAGUAUACUAGGCUCUAAAAGUUUGUUUCAAACCAUACAAGAUCUUAUUCAAUUUAUAGACUUUAUUCUUUUUCCUUUCUUCAUAAAGCCUAGAGGUUGUUCAACAUAAACCUCUUCUUUAAACACACCAUUCAAAAAGGUCGAUUUCAUAUCCAUCUAAUAAAUACACCAAUGAUUUUAUAUAGUAUGAGAAAAAAUUAUAUGAAUGGUAUCAAUUCUAGUAAUAAGAACAAAAGCCUUAAAAUAAUUAAUACUUGGUUUUUGCUUUUAGCUUUUUGUCACCAAUUAUGAUUUGAAGCGAUCCACUAUUCCAUUAGGCUUGUACUUUAUCUUAUACACCUACUUGACUCUAAUUAACCUUUUAUUUUAUGAAAGAGUGUUAAGUUCCCAAAUGUUGUUCUUCUUAUUCUUUAUUCAUUACACAAAGCUAGCAAUAAUUAGUAGCAACUUCUUGCUAUGAAAUAGGAUCACAAUCAAUAAAUAAAAGCAAGGUACACUACAUCAUUAUAAAAAAUCUCAUUGUCACUCACAAGAAUAUAACAUUGUAAGUGUGUAGGCAAGCAAUAUUGAUGUUGUGGAUGACUAGAAGGCUUUGCAUUAAUAGGUGUUGAAGACUGUGGAGUUUGAUCUUUCAUUGACAUAUUAUUGUAAACUUUAUCUAGGAAUGAUAAAGAUUUUGCUUCUUCAACAAACAAAUCCUAAAUUCCAUCUUUAUAAAAAAUAACAACUUGACUCAUAACAACAUUUUAGUUUUUGGAUUGUAUAGUUUGUAACCCUUUGUCUCACUCUCGUAACCAAUAAAAAUACAUUUUUUGAUUUGUUAUCUAAUUUCUUCCUUAACUUAUUAGGAACAUAAGAAUAAGCAAUGAAACCAAACACUUUGAGAUGACUAAUAUUUAGCUUCCUUUGACUCCAAGCUUCUUGAUGAGUUUUUCCAUGAACAGUUUUUGUAGGACACUUGUUCAAAACAUAAAUAACAUACAUCUAACCUUAUCUAUUUCUCUCUGCCACCUUAUUUUAUUGAGGAGUGUAUCUAGUAGUUAAUUGAUGUAAAAUACUAUGCCUUUUCAAGAAAUCAUCAUAAACAAUAUAUUUUAUCCUUCUAUCAUUUCUCAAAGUCAUAAUGAAAUGCCCAAUUUGCUUUUCAACAUAAGACAAAAAAAAAUUCUUAAAUACACUACAAGCUUUUGAGUUUUAUUUCCAGAAAUUAAACCCAAGUCAAUUAUCAAUAAAAUUAAUGAAGUACCUGUUACCUUCAUGUGAAGAAAUUUUAAUUAAGCACAAAUCUAAUUGCAUGCGUUUAAGUGUUUUUUUUAGCUCUCCAUGCUUUGCUUUUUAGAAAAGUAUCCCAGUGCUUUUAUCCCAAAGUACAUGAUUCAUAAAGUUUUAUAAAAGGUCAAUUUAUAGUAAACCAUAAACCAAUUUUUUAAUAGCAAGAAAUUUCAAACUUCUUAAGUUUAAAUUUCAAAGACGUAAAUGUCAUAAUCAACUAUCAUUAAAAAUCAUAAAACUAAAGCAAAAAAACUCCUUGUAAUUAAUUUUUAAUUGUUACAGAUGAUUAUUAGCAAUAGUUCCAAUGUUAUUAACCUCUCUUGUUCAUCAGAGAUUAUACAAGUCUUGUAUUUGAAGUGCAAAUCAUUCUUUAUUCUUGCUAAUUGUCCCAUAUUUAAUAAAUUUUGCCACAAGCUUGACAUAUUGAACACUUCAGAAAUAAAAUUAAUUGACCCAUACUUUAAUUAAAUGACCAUUCUACUUUUCUUAAUUGUUAGAGUUCUUGUUUUAUCCCUAAGCAUCAUCGAUGUACAAAAAGAUUCAUCCAAUUUAGAAAAUAGCUCUUUGUCACUAUUGAUAUGAUUGCUGCAACUUGUAUCCAAAACCUAUAUAUUUUUAUAUACUUUUUUUGUAUUAUGGUUUGCCACAAAUAAAGUCUCAAAAGCAUUUUUAUUAGUCUUCAUAAAUUUUGUAUACACAUUCCUAUUAUUUGAGUUUUCAAGUCAACACUUAUAUUGAUAAUGAUCAAACCUUUUGCAAUGAUGACAUUGUAUAUAAGACUUGCAAUCUUUCUUAUAGUGACCACUUUCUAAAAUUUAUGCCAUUAAAUUUGAGAUGUGUCAUUCUAAUUUGAAUCUCCUUCACAUCUAUUAUUUAUGCUUUCAUUGUAUCUUUGUUGUUGAUCGAAUCUGUUAUUUCUUUCAUCUUUGCCUCAACUACUUUGACCAUGUUGAUUGUGCUCAAUCUUAUAUAAGACUCUCUUUGUUCAUCAUGUUUAACUAAGAUUGCAAUUCCUUUUCAAAGGCUACCCCAAACUUCUUUGAAUUCAAGUGAUAUUCAUAAGCUACUAAUGAACCUUAUAAUUCAUCAAUUGACAUCUCAUUCAAAUCUUUUCAUUCUUUAAUAGUUGCUACUACGUCCUCAAAAUGAAGUGUUAGACUUUGAAGAAUUUUAUUUAUAACUAGGAAAUAUGUCAUCUUUUCUCCAUUGACAUCUUAUUAACCAAUUUUUAUUUAAGCAAAAAAUACUCAUUAAUAGUCUCAUUAUCUUUCAUUCGAAGAAGUUCAAAUUAUAUGCAUAAAGUCUACGACUUUACAUUCACUUGUCUAAACCUUUGUAAGACUUGUCAAAAAUAUCUCAAGCUUCCUUUGCAAUUUUGACAUUCAUAAUCUUCUCAAAAACAAAUAAUUCCACCUCUUAAAAGAUGUGAUAUCUAGCUUAUUGAUUUCUCUUUUUGGAACAAUUUUUUUCUUGUACAUUCGUUCACUCUAAAACUUUGUUCUCAAUAAGAUCCCAAACAUCAAUAUACUCAAAGAAAGAUUGCAUUUGUACUUUCCAGGUUCAAAGUUGUUUUUGCCAACAAAUUUGAACAUUUGAAUAAUCCAUAAAUUUUGUAUAAGAACCUAUCCUUUUAAUCGAAUAGCUCUUAUAACAAUUAUUAAAAACACUAAUCAUUCAGUUUUUAACCUCCCAAUGUGUUAUUCAUUGAUGUUUAACACUCUUAAAUUCUUAAUACAUUGGCCUUAUAUUUAUAGGGAGAUUACAACCUCUAACUAAUCAAAGAUUUUUACUUAGACUAGGAUUUCAACUAAUAUCUAACAAUACUUAGACUUAAUUUAUGUUUAUGUAGGUGGAUUUUAUUAAACAAAUGACAUUUAUUUACUCGUUUCAACUUUCAAUAAUAUAGGCCAUAGUAAUUAAAUUUGGUCUGGCUCAUGACCUAUUUUAAGGCUUAGAAUACGAGUUGAGCGGGUUAUCUCAAUUUGAUUUGGGUAAAAAAACAAUAUCAUUUAACUUUUAAAAUUAAAAUGAUGAUGCUUUGAGAACAAAAAAUCAACUCAAGUUUUGACAAGGUAGUGGGUUGUCUCACUAGGUCGAUCACGUCAAAUAUAAUCAACUUAAGGUUGACUUUUAUUUUUAACACCUAACAUAGGCUGGGUGCAAGUUAACUAAAUAUUGUACCGACCAGCCAGACCAAAUUUAAUAAUUGUACUACAUGUAUGAGGUAGCAAAGACAUUUCUAGUUUGAUAAUGGAAGAACCUUGGAAUAUAUUGAAAUUAUGGUUGAAUAUGUCAUAUGCAUUGUUAGGCCCUAUUUGUCUUUGAGGUUGGAAAGAGCUUUUGCAAAAAAAUAAAAAAAAAAUUCUUCAAAUUAAUAUUUUUUUUUGUUUUUAUAUAUUUUUUUAAUGUUCUAAUGUAAAAAAUAAUUAAAAAAAAAUCAUUUCGACACAUUUCUAAGCGAAAAGUAAUCGCUACCACAAUGCUAAACGAGCUCCUAGCCCAUCACACACACAAUUAUCCCAAAUUGUUUUCUAAUACAAAACUACUUACAAACCUUCACAUUGCUUUAUAUAAUAGUAUUUCUUUUCAAUAAAGUCACUUAAUAUUUUCUAAUUGAACAAUAUAAUUGAAUAUUCUAAGGUAUAAGAGAAAAACUUAAAAAAUGCUUUAAUUGAUAAUAUAAAGAGGUUGUGUAUGUGUGUGUAUAUAUGAUGAAUGCAAUCAAACCAAUUAAAAUAUUAUUUUCAAGUGUUUUAAUAACUUUAAAUACUUCAUAAUCUUAUAAAUGUUUUCAUAUAGUAUAUAAAAAAAUUAUCUAAAUAAAUUCUAAUAUACAUGUUACAUUAUUGCAAAUUUUACAAUGAUAUUUCUAUAGAGUUAUUUUAUUUAGACACAAACUAAACUCUAACACUAUGAACAUACGCAAAUAAUUUCCUUUUGUAAUUUUUUUAAUUACAAAAGGAUUUUAAAAAAUAAUAAUUUUAAAAAUAAGAAUCAAAAUUACUAUCACAACUAUUAUUAACAAGUAAUAUUAUCACUGCUAUUACUAUCACUAUUAUUAUUAUUAUUAUUAUUAUUAUUUCUAACAUUGUCAUUAUUGGUAAUAAUUAUAGCAUUUCCAUUAUUAUUAUUAUUAGAAGCAGUAGUGUUACCACUAAAACAACUACUACUAUUAUUAUCUCCACUAAUUUUAUUGUUGUUGUUGUCAUCGUCAUCACUACUAUCAUCAAUAAUAAUAUCAUCAUCAUCAUCAUCAUUGAUUUAAUUUUUAUUGUUAUUGUUGUUGUUGUUAUAUUGAAAAAAAUAAAAAUAAUGAACUUGAUUUGAAUGAUAGAAUUCAAAACUAUAGAGAUUUUACAAAAGGACCAAGAAAAAAAAUUAAGAAAUCAAAAGAAAAUGGACCAAAUUGAAAUCACUAUUAUCAUUGAAAAAACUAAAAUCAUAAACUUAAUAUGAAUGAUAAAAUUGUAAGACAUAAGAACUUCGACAAAAAAGCAAAGAAAAAAAAUUAAAAAUUAAAAGUAGAAGGAACAAAUCGGAAUACCUCAUAUUUAAAACUUAAAAACUAAGGGUUAAAUUGAAAACAAAUAAAACUUUAAUAAAAUUAAAAAUGAUUAAAAAACAACAAUCAAAACUAAAAGGUAUAAAUAUGAAAAAACAAUAACAACGAGGACCAUAAUGUAUUUACAGGGGUAGGAGAGACAAAUGAAGAUUAAAAAAAAAUGGUCAUCUAUGAUACACUGAUCAUAUUUGGAGUACAUGCAUUGUCUAUAAUGGAAGAGGAGACGGAGAGAAAUUGACUAUGUUGGUUGAAGAAAUUUUUUGAUCAUCAGAAACUGUCGCACGUGUCGCCCAAAGUGUGAGGCAUUUUCAAUAUGCGCCAACAACUUUUUAAUUAAAAAUCAUUAUUUUAAAGGGAAAUUACAUUACUACCAUUAACCAAACUUACAAUUAACAACAAAACGUAGGCUAAAAGACCCAAAUACCCCUGACGAUAAUGAACUAAAUGUCUUACAUCCAAGGGUGCAUGUGUAAUUCUACUAUGUAUGAAAAAAAAAACCUAAAUAUCCCUACCCGAGACCACUAAAUAUUUUUUACUCAUGAGAGUGUUUUAGUUAUUUUAUUACUCACAAAACAUUGAAUAGAUGAAAAUAUCUCCAAACAAAUCAGUAAAAACUAAUGCACUUUAUGAAAAUACUGAAAUAACCUUGGUCCAAAGGCAUGGAAUUUUUUUAUGGAAAUGAGAAAAUAAUCAUUACAUUACAGUAGUGAAUAGGAAAAAAAAAAAUAAGGGGGCUACAGUGAAUCCUCCCUCUAUUUUAGUUGUUUAUAUCACUUUAUUAAGAUUUUACCCACCUUCUAAUAUUUUUGUCUCUCCUCAUGCACCAUUUAUAUCAAAUCGAGAGAUCAAAAAAUAUAUGGAUAUUUUUAAAAAUAAAUUAAUAAACAACUCAAUUAUCAAUAGAGAGAUAACAAAAAUAUCCGGACAUUCUUAAAAAAUAAAUUAAUAAACAGCUCAAUUCUAGAAAGUGUCACACAGAACUAAGAAAAUUAUAUGGUGUUAUAAGAGUAAUUAGUGAUUUUCUAUUAGUUAUAUAUAAAAAAGUAACUAAUAAAAUAUCAUUAAUUACUUUUUAAGUAUUAUAAAAUUACUUAAUAUUAUACAUGUCAUUAUAUAUAUAUAUAUAGAGAGAGAGAGAGAGAGGAACAGCCCUCACAAUAUAAUUUGAUACUCGUGUUUUAGUACAAGUCAAUGAUUUGGAGGAAAGCUUUUGUAAGUUAUCAUACAACAACACUAUUUAAAAGUUAUUUUUAUUUAUUUAAAUAAAAAUAAAAAUAGAUAUAUAUAAAAAAAAACAAUAAUUAAAACUUUGGAGGAAAAUGUACUCAUUGAAUUAAAAUUGUUUUCUCUCGUUCAUGUAUUUUUUUUUCUUGUUUUUGUUUUUGACAAUAACAUGUCUUUCAUAUGAACAUCAUGAUUAAUCAAAUAAAAACUAAUGGUGAUUAAAAUAAAUAUUCUAACAACUUGAACUAAAGAGGAAAAUUUUUUAAUCAAAAACCCUAUUUUCUUAUUAACAUAUUUAUUUUUUUCUUGACAAAAAUAUUUUUUGUUAGAAGCAUUAAUUUUUUUAAAAAAAUAUUAUUAUUGUUGUUGUUGUUGUUAAAGGUAAUUUCAAUAAUAAAAAAAUAUGCAACUUUUAUGAAUAAAAGUAUAAUUAACAAAUGAGAAAAAUUAUAUAAAGCAAUUAUGAUAAGAAAAUAGAUGUUACAUUUUUACUAAAUAUCAAUAAGUAAAAUUUUAAAAAUUAGGCAUAUUAGAUUAAUAUAUAAUUAAAAGUAUAGAUACUGUUGAUAUUACCAUAUUAAAUUCUAAUGCUCUUGAAAACUAUUGCAUAAUUGAAUAAAUAUAAUUAAAAGUAUAUAUAAUUAAAAGUUUGUUUUAUUAAAAAAUAAAUAAAUAAAAAAGGACAAAGAUUAAUCAAUUGAAAAAAGAAACAUGCUAGGGAUCUUAUUAAAUCCAUUUUAACCCAAAAUACAUGUAAUCAAUUGAAAACCCCAAAAUUAAAUUGAAUAAAAAAAUUUUCUCAAACUAUUAUCUAAUUUUUUUGACAAGAUAAAUAAUCCAAGCCGCAUCAAUAAUACUCCUCUCACCAAACCACGUGGUAAAUUGUUCAUCUUGGUUGACAAUGUUGUUUAUAAGAAAGUUAUUGAGAAUUUAGCCCACAUGAGAAUAGAAGAGAAAUUAAUUUAAGACUAUACAAUUAUAAAAUUGAUUUACUUAACAAAAGGUCUUAACUCAUGGCAAUCAAAUAACACAUAAUUAUGUGCUUGUCUUAAUUCAAUAUUUAUUAAAUAUUUUCAUGAAACUAUAUUUUUCGACAAUAGUCAUCCAGGAUGAGAAAAUAUUGAUAAAUUCUCACUCGAAGGCACUUCACCAACAUUAUUAUGUCUUAAAAUACGGUUGAUUUUUGUUUUCAUGUAAGGCUUAAAAUAGCACAAGAUACAUAUUAAAAUCUCUUCAAUAAUAUAAGUAUUGCAUAUCGAAAUCUCAACAUACACCUUUUUUUUUAACUUUUUCCUUAAGCUUGAACAAGUAGUUAUAUGAAAAGUAAAUAUAUAUUAAAUGAUUAAAUGUUUUUUAAAAAUAAAAUAAACACUUCGGAUGCAUAUAACUCUUAACCUCUCAAAUGGAUACAUCCAUCUAUAUUACACAAGCCUUUCAUAUUUUUCUUCAUACAUUAAAUGUAUGGGUAAAUGCUUCAUUUGGUCGAAGAAAAAAGGAGAAAAGAUCAUUUCACGUUGCUCCAUGUGUUGGGAACACAACUUAUUCAAGCAAACAUUUCUUAAAAAAUGACUAAUCUUUGUGAGUGUUUCACAUAUCUCUUUUAAAAAUAAAUCCCUAUAAGCAAUUAGAAUGAGUGUUAUAUAAACUCAUGACAUUUAUGACUCUUCAUUCCAUACAAUAUGUAUUCUUUAAGUUUAUCAAUAUAGUUAUGUUCAAAGCAUAUCCAUCAGAAAUUACAAACUCUUAAGCCAUUUAUAGACAAGAAAUUGUGCCUUUUUAUCAAAGACAAAUGUAGUUUUGAGCUUUAUGACAUGUACCCUAUCACUAAACAAUUUUAUAUUUUAAUAGUGACAAAACAGUUAUAUCCAUUGUAGCUUUUAUAUUGUAAGAAAAUGAUCGUUUAUAACUAUGUUAAAAAUAUUUUCAAACAUGUUAUUUUUUAUAUGCAUGACAUCCAAAUUAUGGUUGAUGAAAUUUUUUUUUCAAUAAGUAAGCUCCCAAAAAUAUAUUAUACUUUAUCCAAUUAUUGGUCACACAAAAACUAAAAAACUUCUACUUAACGGAUUGAAAAUCAAUAACAAUGUCCUUAUAUUGAGAGACUACAUCAUAUUAUUCACCUAAUAGUACUAGUGGUGUAACAUCCCCUUUGGUUUUACCCUUCAAAAAUUCCUUUUUGUUAUUUUUAUAUUGUUGAUGACUUGGCAAAAACCUCUUAUGGUAGUUGAAAAAGAAGCUUUACCACCAUUCAUUAAGGUGAAGGCCUUGUUGUUUUCCAUAUAAUAUGAACAAGCUAACUUUCUAUAUGUGUUCCAUCUAGAAACCAUCUCAUGCACUGGAAAAUUAUUUAUAGUCCAUAUUAAAGCUAUCUUCAUUUGGAAAUAUUGUUUUUCUUAAGACAUUAUAAGUUAAAGCUCCAAGUGACAAUUACUGAUUCAAAUCAAGAAUCAAAGAUUGAAGAUAAACAUCUAUAUUUCUACAUAGACUAUAUGGAUCAUGCAUGAUCAUAGAUAAGAACAUGAAUUUUGGUCAUAUAAGCAUCUUUAUAGGCAAGUUAUAAACUAUUAGUAUAACCUACCAAUAAAAAUAGAGUGUAACAAAAGACCCAAAUAGAUUGUACUCAUCGAUACAUAAACCAAGACAUAUGUUUUAUGGUUCCAUUAAAAAUUAAAAAUGCACCAUAUUAAACUACUUUUAAGCUUUACCAUUAAAAUGAUGCAUUAUGACUUCAUCCACCACAUCAUGUGAAUGAUGUCAUGUCAUUUUCUCUACUAUCUUCUAAGAUAUAAAUAAUCUUUAUAUCAUAAAAGUGAUCAAAAAGUAUCUUAGUUUUUUUAUAUAUGACAAGUGUCCUUCCUCUACCAAUAUUGGGUUUUUACCGAGCAUGCUUAUAGGUUUUGCACCCGAUUAAACUUACAUCUUUAAUGUAGUACAAAUUGUAAAACCUUAGGCCUAUAUCAAGUUUUUUUGUAUUCUAAGCUAUAGGGUUUAAUCAUGGAUUUUGCAACAUAAAAUUUCUUUUUCAACCUAUUCCCUUCAGGUAAAAUGCUUUUUGUCUAUUCAAUGAUGUUAUGAUAAUCAACCUAUAAUCUGGCUUAAAGGUAAACACUUAUGCAAUGACCAGUAAUUUAUUGUAAUUUAUGCACUCAUCCCAUAAUAGUUCGGUGAAGUCUUUUAAAAGUUUAGAAAACCUAGUUUCUUUUGGUUCUUCAUCUAUACAUGAACCUUCAUUUGAAUAAUCAUAAUUCAUUUUUAUUAUAUUCAUCACCAUACUCCUAUAAUGAUUAUUAAUAUCUUUUAGAACUUCAUGUAUGUCACUAAAACAAAAUGUUAAGCCAACAAUUCAUUCUAACAUGGUUUCAUAAGGAACACAAGAUUUUCCUUGUAAAACUAACACGUGUAUUUCUUUACAAAACUUUUUUUUUUAAGAUGCAUCAUCACAAUAUUUGAUUGGUGAAAUUUUUUUAUUUUCACACAUGAACAUCUAAUUUCGUCUUCACUAAUAUUCUUUGGAUUUGAAAGUAUGAAAUUAAUUAACCCCUAAUCCUUUUACAAUAAUUUUCCUAUACAACAUUUAGGGUGAAUCUCGAUACAUCCAAGAACGAUUAUCAAUUACUUAAAAACCCUAUAUAGAAUAUUAAUGAUAAUAUUUAUUAAUAAUAUAAUUAUCAAUUCAAAAUUCAACUUUGAUAAUUAAAAAUGAAUUCACAAUCAAAUAAUAAAUUAUCAUUUGUAUAAAAAUUCAAUGUUGCUUCAAAAUAUGAACUAAAUAAAUCAAAUUAACAACAAGUAAACAAAACGAACUAAAUAUCUAUCAUUUUCUCAAUUCAAACUGAUUCCAUAUAAAUUAAUGCAAUUUAAUUAUUAUCAAUUACAUAAAAAAAAAUAAUUUUCCCAAGAUUUCUAGCUUAACAAUAAUAUUGAUAAAAUGUAAUUGGUAUUCAUUAAAUAACACAUCAUUUCUUCCAAUAUAACAUACUUAAGUUAUAAAAUCAAACUUAAUUUAAUCAAAUUGCAAACAAAUUAAUUUUUUAUCAAAUACUAAACAAAGCAUAACAUGCAAAUCAUACUUUAAUACAAUAAAAUUAUAUAUGAAAAGGUUGUAAAACACUUAAAUAUAUAGACAAACUAUAAAUAGUAAAUAAAAAUAUCAAUAAAUUAAUCUAAAAUAUAAAUUGGUAUGUUUGUUUACUUGGUGUAAGGAAUAUUUAGAAAACAUUGAAUCAAGAUGAUGGUGUUGACACUAUUGAGUGUUGUUGUGGCCUUUGUGAGGAUGAGGCCUAAAUUUGUCGUGAAAUAGGGUGUAAGGGUUGUUGUUUUCUGCAGUUAAAGAAAAGGAGAAAAAGAGAAGAAGAAAAGGGGGAUGGAAUUGUUGUCGGUUAUAACACUUUUAAAUUUCCUCAAUCAUUUCGUUAGCAAAUAAUGAAGUGACAUGUUACCGACGGAAUCACUAACAAAAUGUUUCUUGAUUUUUUAAUUAUUUUUAUUCUAUCAACAAUUCCUUCAGUAAUUACCAACAUGACAUAUUUCAUCGUUAAUGACGCUAGUAAUGGCUAACAUAUAUUUUUUGUCAAUAUUGUCAUUGAACAUUACCAAUGAGAUAUUUUUUGUUGAUAAUUUUGUUGCUAUUUAAUACUUUUUCUAGUUGUGUCAAGGGUUCAAAAAGGGUUAUGAUAAGAGAAAAAUAGAAGGUUUAGUAAGAGAAAAAUAGAAGGUUUAGUAAUGGUUAGAUGUUAUAAAGAAGUAAUGACACAUUAUCUAUAUUGAAACGGAAAGUCAGAAACUUACUGUGUUAGUAGUUUUAAAUCCAUAAAAUGUCAACUUCAAACAUGGUGUUACUUAAUUGUAUGAUUUUUAAAAAAUCCGUACUAUUUUGUUUAAGGAUUAGAGGCCACUAGUUAUAUGACCCACACUUCACCGCGGGUCAGAUAAAUAUUUUUGAUAAAUAAACAAAAAAUAAAUAUGCAAGCUUUUCAAAUUUAUUUUUCUUUAAAAAUUUUUAAUUAUAAAUCAAAAGGCCUAUGAGAACUAUUUGUGUCAAUAAAUGCAAAAAAAAAAAAAAAAAAGUGUUAGCGUGUCUAUUCAACUUGUUUAGCUGCAUGUUGAAUUUUUUUUCAAUGUAAAAGAAUUAAUGUGUAAGUUUUAUUAACGCAUUUUUAUACAUCAAGUAAAAAAAUAUAAUCAUGAAUCAUAAAGUCCACGCUUACAUAUAAUAAAACAUAAUAAAGAUCAUAUACAUUAAUAAAAAUAUGUAAGAUCUCAAGCUAAUUUUAACGUAGAUAAAAAAUAAAACAAUGUUGCAAUUGCUACAGUGAAACAUCAUUUUCUUAGUCAGUGUAGAAUAAAAUUCCAAAAACAAAAAGUGUAUAAUUAGAUAAAAAAAAAUGAUUAAAAGAAUUGGCACCAAACUUGACAUAAAAAUUCAAUAAAAAGAAAUGUUCAUGGAUAAAAUUGAAUAAAAAUAAAAAAAUCAAGAAAAUAAUUGAAAAAAAUAGCAAUUAAAAGAAUAAGGAUCAAAUUUGAUAAAAAAAAAACUAACAAAAUCAAGCAAACAAGGAUGAAAUAAAAAAUAAAAUAUAAUUAGAAACAAUCAAUGUAAAUAAAACAAUUUCAAUUAAAAAAAGGACUUGAUCAAAAGAAAAAAGAAAGUGAAGGGUUGAUAUAAUUUUUUGCAUGGCCGACAGGCAAUCCGAUUAAAAAAAAAAAUUAGAAAAAAAAGAAGGUAAUUGGCGUUAAACCAGACCUCACGAUUAUAUAUGCACCAUCUAGAGAGGAAGUGGACGUCGAGACACAUCAAAUUAUAUGGCGAAAGUUUACUUUCAAAUAUCAAUAAUUACAAAAAGCUUAUAGUACUAUUAUUAUAAGAGAAUAAAAGAAAAAAUGAUGCCGCUUUCAAACUAAUCAAUAAUUACAAAUUAAUGAUAUGCAAAUAUCAUCUAUCCUUUCAAGUAAAGCUUUAAAAUUAAAAGAUGAAAGGUAAAAAGAUAACUUUAUUUCAGCACCGGAUACAUUUAACUGUGCAUAGAGUACACUGAAAAGUACACGCGGGGGUUUAGUAUUUUACUUAAUUAGAAAGCACUAGAAUUUUGGUGGGUGGUGAUUAAAGUUUAAACAGCAAAAGCAGAAUAAACAAGAGUACUGUUAAUUUACCGUAACCAGCUAGCUAUAUAUCACCUAGUUACUUUGUUUUCACAUGCGGCGCGUGUAUAUUAAGCGGCAUAUUGUAACUAUAUAUGUUCAUACACAAACAGGUCGCAAGUAACAGUUACCAAGACUUUCCGAGGAAAUAUCAUGGGUUCACAUCAAAGGCCAGAGGGCGAGGGGUGUGACUUGUGAGGAUAGGGUGGGUGGGUGGGUGCCCUUUUUAGACCUAACGAUAAAAGCCUAUAAAAAAAUAAAAUAAAUAAAAUAAAAACCCUAUCUGGGACCCCUUUGCCCUCUCUUUCAUCAUUUAUUCAGACGAAAGGUCCUCAUGCUUCGCCCAUUUAGGUAUAUAUAGUUGAUUAUUAAGCUGAAAUGCUACUGAUGUUAAUAAUGUGUAGGGGCUGCUGCUGCUAUUAGCAACUGUACGUGUAUAUAUGUUCAGUUCAGAACUGGGUAGCUAUAUAUCCAGCUAGGGUUGGACCAGUACUCCUAACUAGCUCUAGAGAUCCAACCACAGAAGAAACACAGAUCACUCGCACUAUGAUCCAGUCAAAACGAAGUGUUUGAUCUUCUUACAUACCCUCUGAGAAGUACUUAUUGUUUAUAUUUAUAUAACAUCUUUAAUUAAGCAAAUCCCCGUUUUUCAAUAGCUUCAAAAACUCAGCCACUUCGGAAGGGUCUCCAUGAACUUACGUGCCAACCAGGGAUAGCAGGAGGAGGAUGGUCAUCUAGUUAUUUAUUUAUUUAUUCAAAUAAAUCGUGUUCAUUUAUUAUUAACCAAUGCAUGGAAGCAUCAAGGAUGGGUCUCCAUCAUGUAGCUGGUGGCAAUAUCCCUUUCAUGAGGAUGAUAAUGGUAACAACUGUCAUGCCCCAUAGUCUAGGGCUAAGAAGCAUAGAGUGGGAGACAAAUUUCAUGAGGGCUAAGCUACUUGUGGGUUAAAUAAUGGUGUAGCGACUGGGAGAUACUAUUGCAGUGGACCCGUAUGUAGGGGAGGGGGACACAUGCAAAUCAACCAGGAAGCUUCAAAAGGAACUUCAAUGGAGGCGAGGAUACCCAAAUAAUUCCUUUUUCAAAUAUUAUGGGCAGUAAACAAGGGGCUUCAAGCACUAAUUGGAUUAGCAGCUGCUGCAGCAGCAGUGUAGCAGCAGCCGCAUAUAUACGUGUGUAUGCAUAUAUAUAUAUAUAUAUAUAUAUAAAGUCCAGAGGCCAGAGCUACCACCAGCAGCCUCCUCUUCUAUAACCCCACACUAGGAGUCUGUUGCCUCUGCCUCUCUGAGAAACCGUUGAGCCUCUCUGGCUGUUAAAUCGCUUUCGCUCUUCAUUAGAUGACACAGAGCCCAUGGCUAACUUGGCUAGCCCCUUCAUUUAUUCAUGUUUGUGGUGCCAUAUAUUAAUCAAUACGAAUCUCUUCUAAGUUUUCUAUUUUUUUUUUUUUUUGUCAAUUCAGCACUUUUUUUCCAUAUUUUUUUCUUGUGUAAUCUAAUUAAAAAAAUUAAAUAAAUGUGAUCACACCAGUGUUUUAAAACUCGGACUGGCCCGACGGGUCGAUCCGGGAGCCGGCCGACCCGGGCAUGGGACCGGUCCGGGUGGAGGGCAAAACCCACUUGGAAAUUAGCCCGGUCAGACCCGGUCCACCCGGCCAGACCCGAGUGAGACCCGGCCAAUUUUUUUUUAUUUUCCCUGUCAUUAAACGAUGUCGUUUAAUGACAUCUGAAGACUAAAAUCCUAAAACGUUGAACACUAAAGACCCGGUCACUUUUGCUUCACAAGAAAACAACACCGAAUAUCAAACUUUGAAGCCUGAACAGAAGAUAAUUUUGCUUCACUCUAUAGCUAAUAAUCUUGAAAAUAUUGGUGAGUUUUCUAAAACAUUAAAGAAAUUCAAAUCAGAAGUCAAAUUUGAGGUAUGCAAAACAAAUUUACUCACUCUCUCUUUUUUUCUUGGCUUAUCAAAUUAUGCAAGUUUAUUCACAGAGAUAAAAUGAUUGGAUUUUUGUUUGUGUUUUGAGUUGAAUAGUGCUGAUACCCUCUUGAUGAGGGCAUCCUCCAUGGAUUCCACCACUGUAACCAGGCAUGAACAGGUUAAUUCAGGCUUUCCAAGGAUCCACAAAGCUCAGAGUGCACAAAUACCCAGCAGCUUCAUGGAGCAGGAGGGAAUUUCUGCUAAAGGAGAUCAAUUUCUGGGUGGGAUUUCAAGCACAGCUUCCAAACAUAAGGUGAGGAUCUUAAAUUGGAUGACGAAAAACAUGGAAUCGACUUGUGUCUAUCUAGUGAAUGAAAUUAAAUUCUUCCGGUAUAUCUUUGCAGGCCAGAGAAGUUGCAAGGCAAGUUGCUAAUAUUGAUCUGCCUAAGAACGUUGCCAAGGAAUCUGUAAAAGACGGGAAAAUAGUUCAGGGUAUGAACGCAAAGCCGACUGUGAAGUCGAGAUCAAAUGGCUCGGCUGGCAAUGGAAGGUGGGGCCGUUUCAUUCACCUUGAAACACCUACAUCAAGCCAUACAUCGACUCCUCCAUCUGUUUAUCUUUUCAAUUUAGUCGUGGGUCUGUUUCUGUUCUUAAUCAUGCUCAAAGAAGUGCUGAUUG
RNAcentral lists this long non-coding RNA (45464 nucleotides) under Populus tremula. RNAcentral describes it as "long non-coding RNA (PTRE_LNC001793)". The record is from RNAcentral. Lineage: Eukaryota; Viridiplantae; Streptophyta; Magnoliopsida; Malpighiales; Salicaceae.